UUUGUUUUUGUGUUUAUGAUGGAUGAAGUUUAAAACUUCUUGAUAUGGUUGAGGGUAAACCUCUUGGUAAAAUGAAGCCGAUGCUUCCAAGGAUAUCAUGUACAGUUUUUUAAUUGCCCUGCUGUAGUUAAUUCCCUUUCUUAUUCUCUUGUUAAUUCUCUUUCUUAUUUUUGCUCUGGUUUUAUCCCGUCAUAUACUCUCUCGAAAUAAGCUAUUCCCAGGAUGUCAUGCACUUUCUUAUUACAGUUCAGAAUUUGUAGCUUCUUGUCGUACUUAUUCCACCCAAGGAUAUCCCAUUCCAGUGAUAUCUCGAUGUUAUCCCGUAUAGGUACAUCCAGGCUUGGGUAUAUCCCAUUCUCUGAUUAUUCCGACUCAAGUUUUUUAUUUAAGUUAUAAGGUUUUGGUUUAGGGUUUUAAUUUUAAAGUUUGGAAUUUGAGAUUUUGGAGUUUGAGGUUUGGGAUUAGAGAGUUCAAAAUUUAAGGUUUAAAACUUAUGUAACACCACUAACCCAAUAAAUCAAAACAUUUCAUAUUUAAUUCUCAUUCAUCAUAUAGAAAUUCAUUCACAUACAUUCAUAUAAUAGCUUAUAGGAGCGGUUAAGGCCUAAAAUAAACAUUAAAAAUGAGUUGGGACUAAACCGAGUACUAAAAAAAUUUACGGAAAAACAUAAAAAAAUUUCACAAUACAGGGGACAUACGCCCGUGUGGCCAGGCCGUGUGGCACACAUGGCCAAUUGACACGCCCGUGUCGUAACUCGUGUAAGCAUUGGAUGUGAGGCACACAGCUAUGUCCCAGCCCGUGCUCAUGCCAAUCAAAGUGUGAUUGUUGCACACAUGGCCAAGUGACAUGCCUGUGUCGUAAGCCGUGUGAGCAUUGGAUGUGAGGCACACUGUGUCCUAGCCCGUGCUCAUGCCAGUCAAAGUGUGAUUGUGGCACACAUGGCCAAGUGACAUGCCCGUGUCGUAAGCUGUGUGGGCAUUGGAUGUGAGGCACACAGCUGUGUCCUAGCCCGUACUCAUGCCAGUCAAAGUGUGAUGGAAUUACUAGUGAUGGUGAACAAAGUGGUGUUGUUGUGGUACUUUGGGUUGCUACUUCUGCUGGGCUUGGUAGGUCUACUGCUGAUCCUCCAAGAUCUUUCAGCGCUUCCUCUAGUCCUUUGAUUUGAUUCUCAAUUAGUUGGCUUUCUUUCAACUUUUGGUCCAAAAUUGCUUUUAUUGCUUUUAUUGUUGCUGCCAUUCCCUCGUCAGUGUAUCCGGCUGUGUCCUGAAAUAAAAAUGGCUUUAAACAUGUAGCUCCUAAUUUUGAGUUGCCACCUGAUAAGCUUGCCUUGAUUACGGUUCCCCUUGAGUUAUAAUUGAGAAAUCCUGUAACAGAGCUUGAGUUUGUUCUGAGUAUAAACUCAAUCGUGAUCUACACAUCUUUAAAGUAUAACUUUUAACUUUUCUUGAUGUUCUUCUCUUGAUACUUUAAUAAAGAUUAUAAUAUCGUCUUUAUAAGCUAGACCUAUGUUUUCUAAUCCUUCUAAAUUUUUGUCCAUAAAUCUCUUAUAUAUACUAGGGGCUUGUUUUAGUCCAAAGGGUAAUACUAUAAAUUCAUAUUGUUUCUGAGGUGGACAACUAAAAGCUGUUAAUGGAAUUGUGUUUUCAUGAAGUGUUAGCUGCCAAUAUCCAGACUUAGCAUCUAAUGUACUAAACCAGUUACAGCCUUUUAAUUAUGCUAAAAUAUAAUCUUUUCUAGGAAGCUUAUAUAGGCGUCUCCUAUGGUAGCAUCAUUCAUUUUUUUUUUAUAAUUUAUGAAUAUUCUUCUUUUUCCUCGUUUUAUUUCAUUAUGGUUCUCUAUAUAGAAAGCUGUGUCUAUGUAGGCCAUUACUACUUUAUUGUGUAUCUUUACCUUAAUGUAUGUACUAUUCUUUCCUCUAGGGCAUGUUUCUUUAUUUGUUUAUCAGAUUCUGUAUUACUAUUUGUUUCCGAUUCUGUAUUACUAUUCGUUUCUAUUUCUAUUUUUUUAGAUAAUAAAGACAUUUUAAUGUAUUUUUUUGGUGAAAAAAGAGAAAUACAUCAACUACGUACGUAAACCAUCCAUUGUCUUUUUCUUCUUGUAGCAAAACACUUAUUUUGUCUGGAGCCUAAUUUGAAGGCUUGUUUUUCAGCUCAAACUGAGUUUGGCUAACCUAUCUGCAACCAAGUUUUGGGUUCUUGGAAUGUGUUUAAUGUAUUAUUAAACUUUCAUAAUCAUCUCUCCAUUCUUUCUUUUUAUCGUCUUCCUUUAUUACAAAUUCUUUUCCUUUAUCUUUGUUAUCCUUACUGUGUAUUAAUUCUUUAUUUCUAAAAAAUUCGUGUAAUUCUUUUAAGGUCAGACAUUUUUCUGUUGUUUUAUCUUUUUUCUUUUUGGUUUCUAUUUUACUUUUUUGUUUCAUUAAAAUCUUCCAGAAUUUCUUGGUGUUUUAUUAAUUUAUCUUCUCAGUACAUGACAUUGUUAUACCUAGGGAGGAUCCAAAAAUUCUUUCAGUGAGAAUCUUGGAAACCCUUUAGGUUUCCAGUCAAUAUACUGUAGAAUUUCAUGCUUUCCAUAUGAUAUGCAAACAUAAAAUAAAUAGUUGUACCCGAACCUGGAUUUUGUUCGUCGAUCACUUGUUGAUGAAGAUGAUGGUCUUUUAAGUUGACGUGAGGCCUUUGUUUUUGUGUUUAUGAUGGAUGAAGUUUAAAACUUCGUGGUAUGGUUAAGGGUAAACGUCUUGGUAAAAUGAAGCCGGAGCUUCCAAGGAUACAGACCUCCUUUUGGUCUCUUUUAUAAACUUUGAAAAUUCUCAGAAACUUUUUACUCUGCUUAUUUGAUAACUGGAUGCUACCUUAUAUAGGCAACUUAGAGGGGUAGAAAAGUAAAAUAAAAACCCUAAUAAUACAACCUAAUAAUUGCCCGUUAAGCACGCCUUAAAUUGAGGUCCUACAUGGUCCUUGGCCGACAGCCUGUUGUCCUUUCACGCGUUUUUCGCGCGUCUUCUUCUUUUAUGAUGUCAGAAAAGUCUUCUUUUGUUGAUUGCGUCAAUCUGAUUUUUUUAUCGGCAUUUCCCAUAUGAUUAGGGUCUCUUCGUGUUCUUUUGACAUUUGGUCCAUUUGAAGAGUAAAAUAUACAUACAUGAAAAGAAAACAUGUGACUUUUAAUUACUGUUUUUUCAAUAAAGUUUACAAUAACUGAAACGUACUUUGUAUAAACUCGACGGAUCCAAUUCAAUAAUUAUAAGAAUAUUUUCAGAAAUAUUUUUAAUUACUUGUUUUGCAGCAAUUUAAAUAAUGCAUAUAUAAUUAUUUCAAUAGUUUUCCACUUUUUAUAGAAAUGCCAAGUACUAUUUCGAAAAGUGAAAAGAUUAUAUCUUUUGAGGGAAUAAGAAAACACUACGUAGAAUAUCCCCAUCAUAUCCCAUAGUGGCAUAAGCUAUCCCGUUUCCGUUUUGAAUUCUAAGUGCAGAUUUUGAUAGUUUAGUGGCUGGUCUCCUGUCUCUCCACAAUCUCAGUCAAGGAAUUCUACACACAACAGGUACACAACCUUAUUCUAUUUUUACUUUUAUUUGUUACUUAUCAAUCAUUUUCCUACCUGUCAAGCACUGUAACAUAAAAUCCAAUAAACUGCCACCUACUUUUGUGGAAAUUAUUUCCUACUUGAUGCUUUCCUUUUUCUUGUUAUUGUCAAGGCAAAGGCAAUACUUUGAACAAAGGAAACAACAAGAAAAGACAACAGGUUAUGAGGGCCAUGCUGAUGAAACUAGCAUAGCUGGACGACAUCAAAAGGAAUGUCGAUCUCUGAAUAUCUGAUGGGCGUCGAAACCACCAAAUAUAAUUCUUACAAAAUAACUCUAAUUAGUAAUAGAGUGUUAGUAGGGUCGAGUCCACAAAGAUUGGAUGCGAUAAUCAACUUCCGUGUAUAGUUUAUGAUCAGAUUGUCUGUUGUGUCGAAGGUCGUGGCAAUAGUCGUGCCCACGACUCCAAUCGUACCCGCAAAAAUUAGAAAUAAAAGUAAAUCGGGGAUUUUUGAAAUGUUUAGAAACUAGAUAAUUGAAACAGUAUAAAUAAUUAAUUAAAUAAAUUAGAAAAUAAAUUCAGAAUUUUGCAACAGAUAAAAUAAGUCUUAGCCUUAGACUCGGUCAAUUCUGUGUUGAGAAUCGAUCCUUAAAAAUUAAUCUUCUCCUCCAAUCGAUAAGCUGGUUAUAGCAGUUAAAAACGUCCUUAACCAUCAAUUCUUCCUCUAGUAGCUGGUUUCAGUACGACCUACAAACUAACCCUUACCGAUUAUCUAACUGAGAUACACGUGUUCCUGAUUCAAGAUUUCGGCAGCCUUGCGUUCUGAAGAACCCAACUCGAAUUAACGGCCUCAACCGCAUGGGUCAUUUAAACUCGAUCACCUCUUCCUCGAUUUGUUCUCGAAAAUUCGAAUACAGCACAGCAGACUCGAAUUUCCAAUUGUAAGCAAACACGACUCCAACCCGAUGUGCACUUUGACUUGAAAUCGAAUUUAACUUUAAAGGAUGAUUGGACUAUCCCGAUACUUAGGAAAAAAAUGAAUACCGAUAGGACAGAUUUUUUUAACACGAAUUUGUAUGUCACGAUUCCCGACCGAAAAGAACGCUGGCCUAAAGCUAAGAUGAAAUUUAGUUAAGCAUGAAAUUGUUCAUGCUUUGUGAGCUUGGAAAGAAGAUUGAUGAUUAUGGUGAUGGAAAUUGGAAAGGAAAAACACUUAGAGAGGCAAUUAACCCAAUUUUAGAAAAGAAACAAAACCAAAUGAAAAUGGAAGAAUACUUAAUGCCAAUUUGAAAGGAAAAAUGAGAGUAUUUCUAUUCCAAAUAGAAGUAGGAAUAUCAAGUGAAUGCAUGAUUUUCUAAGAACUAAAAGCCCCUAUUUAUAUACAUGGCGUUUAUUAAAAAUAGCCUAACCUAAAUUAAUAAAAUAAAAUAAAAUAAAACAAAAUGAAAUCUUUUUAUUUUUAGCUUUUUACAAAGUCAAAAUAUAUAAUAAAUUCUUGGCUUUCUCUAUCCUUUUGAUUUGGCCCCGAUUCAAUGAUUUGUCUUUCAAUUUGGCCCCUUUUUACUUGUUUUUGACCAAUUGCAUCCCUGACAAAAUUAAAUCAUAAAAACACUAAUUAAGCAGAGAUUAAUUAAAAAUAAACCAAAUCAAACACAAGAAUCAUGUAAAUUAAUAUGCUCAUCAAUAUCCUCAGUAACUUUUUCUGCUGUCAGCAAGUGUUAUCCCAGCAGUAAGUGUCCUAAAUUUCUUUUGCCGGACAACUGAUUUAGGCAACCCAAAUAAGAUCGCUUGAAAUGUCAAGCUAAUAAUCACCUGCAUCUAUAACCUCCAUGCUCUGCACUUUUGCAACAGGAAUUUAGCAAUAUUUUUCUAUGUCUCUUGAAAUUAUCUUCAAUCUUAUUUUCAUGUCUGAGUCACCCGUUCAUUCUUUCAGUGGUAUGUUUUCAGUGCUUUAUUCGAUAUGUAGGUUUCUCUACUAAUGCAUCAUGUGCAAAUUUGAAAGGACAUGCUAAUGUGUUUUUACCAGGGAACUAUAUCUAUCUCAAUAUUCAUAGACAUAUGUAUAAGGGCCACUAUGUGCUAGUCAUAGGAAGUGCCUCACUAGAGAUCACUACUUUUUGAUACAUGGAUGGCGUGUUGCAUUUUAUGCCGUUGUUCAAAUUUUGACCAGCCUUGGUUUUUCUCCCUUGUAUUCUUUGUUUUUAACUAAGUAGGAAGUCAUUGUAAGUCUGGUCCUUCGACAAUUAAGUAUCAAAUGCCAGAGGAUCCAGCGAAGAUCAUUAUAAGUUCAGUACCCCCUUCUUAUUCUGUUAAAAUCAAGGAAGCAUGUAUCUGUUAAUAUCUCUGUGCAUAACUUUGUGAACUAGGGUGUAACUUCUCUGGAAUCCAUGGGUUUUCAGUGCAAAAUACCAUUUGCUGGUGCAGGUGCUCCACCAGCAAGCUAUCAAGGAGAGUUACAAUGCCCAAAGUAGGUGAAUACUUUAUGUCGCACUGAAAUCAUAUUUGUGUAACUAAAAAUAUCCUCUAUUACACAUAAACAUCAAAUCUCUUUUGAUUUAGGUAGUGCUAGGCAGAGAAACCUGCAAAAAUUUAAACAUAGCUACAAUUAUUUAUAUUAACAACUUGAUGUUAAUGUUCAAUAACUAUUGCGUCUGCUUUUACCAAAAAAAUAAAGAAAGCUUAAGCAAUGUAAUAUUUUGAGAAAAUAAUUGUACAUUGGCUAAAAUGAAGACUACUCUCUCAAAUCAUCAAGAACGCUUGCUGACAGUGUGAAAAGCUAAUGCUUGUUUUGCUGCGCAGGAUUUCAUUUAGCGAUCAUGAUAAUCAUGAUUUAAAUGCUUCCAAUGAUAGUUUGGAUCUCUGGAAUGCAGCCACUGAGAAUCGUAUGUUGUAAUGUUGGACUAUUGGUUAUAUACAAGAUCUCAACUAAUUUGGUUUACAAUUUCCAAAUGUCCUGACAGGAUUGUAGCUAGCCAAAAAAGUAUAUUAUUUUCUUAUUGCAGUAUGUAACUCCGGCAUACUAAUAGGAUUCUUUUUUCUUGAUGUUAUUAACUAAAUAUAUAGUUCUCUUCAAAUUUUCUUUCCAUCGUUUACUUUUCCAGAAUUAUCUGUUUUCGACAUGCUUAUUAAUGAUGAAUCAGAGGUGGGUUCUGAAAGAAGUCUGGUUCAUGAAGCUCAUGUUGCAUUUUCAGUUAAAGGUAUGAUACAUUAACAAUGGAGGGAGUCAUUAAGGCAGUAGGUCAUGCAGAAGGAUAAAGUAUCACAAAAUUCAUCAGCAGAUGAAUAUGGAUACCAAAUAUUUGCAAUCUUUGUAUACCAAAUCCAUUACUGAUCAUGCAACAUGCCUUAGAACCCGUGAAACACAAACUAAAAUUUCAAGUUAACUAGCAAUACAUAAACCUUCUGAAUUUCCAAAAUCAUUUUAUUUGAAUUCCAACAGAAAUAGACCAACUCAUGAAAUUUCUUUUGUUCAAACCUAACAAGGAUAGGUCUUCUUGGGAAAGGUUUUAAUUUAAAAAAUUGGGUUGAUUGAAAAUUUUGUGUAGAAAGCACAAGUAAAUAUAACAUAUUAUUACCUAUUAAGUCUUAACUUAAUUGGUAUAGACACUAUUGUCAGGAGAAUGUAGGUUCGAGUGAGUUGAAGCGCAUUAUUCUCCUAUUUAUGGGUUGAGAAAGACUAUGAAUAAUUUUAGACCUUGUUAUAAAAGUAUUUAGAAAAAUAUUAUAAAAUAAUAUAAAAAUAGUAUAAAAUUUAAAAAUUAUUAAAAAUUAAAAAUAAGCUAUAUAAAGUUAUUAAAAGUUAAAAGAAGUUUAUAAAAUAAAAAUUAUUGAAAAGUUACAAGAUUUAUAGGAGAAUUUUGUUACUUUGCUAGUUUGGAGUGUUUGCUUUUGGAAUAAGGAAAUGGGGGAAACUGAACUGUGAUGAUCAGACUUGUGUAGACUGUUGAGUGAGGGUUUGAAUGAUUAUGAGUUCAGUACUUGAUGGUUUAAGGUGAGUGAUGGGUACAUAUAUUUAUAAACUAAUCCAAUAAUCUAUUAAACAAUUAAAAAAUAUAUAGAAAAUAAGUUUAUAUUAACAUUUUAUAAUUAAAUUUAAAUAAAAAUAUUUUUAUUGUUUUUAAAAUAUUGAAACGAAAUUAUUUUGGCAAGUUAGGUCUAGUUGGGCUUGAGCCAAGAUAUUUUUUUGAAAUUUGAUCUAAGCUCAACUUGACCCAUUAACACUUCUAGUGAUAGGCAAUAUUUUAGUUGAGGAAGAAUGAUAAGAGAGAAGUUAAUAAGGAUCAGUUGAUGUAUGAUGUAGGAUAUUGUGUGAGAGAAAACAAAAAUGUGUAGUAUUUGAAUAAAUUUAACAAAUUUUAUAUAUUAUUCUAAAUUUUUUUAUAACAUUUAACAUUUUCUAUAUUUUUUAUAAUUAUUAAUAGAUUUUCUAUAUUUUUCUAUAAAGUUGUGUAAUAUUUUUCUAAAAUUUCUUAUAACAUUUAAAAAUUUUCUAUAAUUUUUAUAUUUUCAAUCAUUUUUAUAAUUAUUUAUAAAUCUCUAAUAUUUAUAUGAAUUUUAUAAUUUAUAUUUUAAAAAAUAUUUUUUACAACUUUAAUAUUUUUUACUUAAAUAAUCAAAUAAAGUAAUAAAAAUAAUCAAUUAAGCCCUCGUAAAAUAAAAAAAAAUCACUUAAGUUUGGAGUUCAGAGUAAGAGUUAUUGGUGAUGGUAAUUAUGAGUAAAGUCAGUGCCUAACACUCAACAAAGUUGACGAGGACUAAAGAGCAAAGUAAGAUGUAUAAUAAAAUUUAUUAUUUAUAAAUAAACCAAAGAAAAGGAAAAGUUUGAAUCUUAUUUUAGUCUUGUUUGUGGAUUUUUAAAAAAUAUUUUUUUAUAAAAGUAUUAUUUUAAAAAAUAAAUUUCAUGUUAGAAAAUAGGUAUCCAUUUAUUCAUAAUUUAGUAUGUAUUUGUAUAAAAUUUUAUGUAUUUUUAUCAAAAAAAAUAAACUUUUAAAUCAUUUUAGGGUUAAAGUGUAAAUUUACCAUUAUAUUAUAAGAGGGUAAUACACUUUAGCGCAUUUGAACUCAACUCCUUCUGUAUUGGCAACAAUGAUCAUGCUAACUGAGUUAAGACUAAAUCGACAAAUAAUUGUAAUUUUUAAUUAUAUUACUUAUUUAUUAUUUUUAACUAUUAAAAUAAAAUAUUUUUUCUUCAAAUUAAAACUUCAUCCGCAACAAUUAUUUUAGGAUUCAUUCUUUGAUAUAUACAUUUUUACCGAUUGAAAUGAUGAGAAUAUGUUGUUAUUAAAAAUAUAACAUUUUUCUUUAAUUACCAUAAAAUAAUAAACUUAAAAUCAAUUUAAUAAAAAAUUUAAAUAAAAAACAUCAACCAAAAUUUAAUACAUUAUAAAAAAAAAGUGAUUUCCAAAUUUCCUUUAAAAAUUGCCGACCCACCCUCAGUUCUUAUUUCUCCUCAAACAUCCCGCCGCUAAACUGCAGCAUCUUGACUAUUGGAUUCUAAACAAUCAGCAAAUCAAAUCAAAAUCAGGUAAUUUUUGAAACUCUGAUUUGUACUUGAGUCAUGAGAUUUUGGGUAAUGGCUAAGUUUUUGUUAUCUGUUCUCUGCAAUUUUUUUUUCUGUUUCCAGUCCUAUUUGUUGAAUGAUUAUUGAACUUUGUGGGUUUUCCUUGUUAUUUUACACUUAUUUUAAUCUGGGUUUUUCUUGUUUUAACUUAAGAUUUGCUUUUGAGUUAACCCUUUUGUUGGAACAACGUAAACAUUAAUAUUCGUAGCCUUUUCUGCACAUUGUAAUGUUAUGCACUUAUUUAUCUUUCUUCUGGAAUUGGUAGCUAUGGCUGCAAAUAUGUUUGUGGUUCCUCAGACAAAAGGCACUGUCUUGUGUUGCAAAUGUGGUAUUUUGAUGGCUCUGAAUCCUGCCAAUAUGUGUGUGACCUGUUUGAGGUCUGAAGUUGACAUCACGGAAGGUUUACGAAAACAUGCCACUAUUAUGCAUUGUCCUGAGUGUGAUAGCUACUUGCAGCCCCCUAGAACUUGGUUAAAAGCUCAGCUCGAAUCGAAGGAGUUAUUAACGUAUUGUGUGAAACGACUCGAGACCGAUUUGAAAAAAGUUAGGCUAGUAAAUGCCGAGUUUAUUUGGACCGAACCCCAUUCUAAGAGAAUCAAGGUCAAGCUGAAAGUUCAAAAAGAGGUUCUUAACGGAGCGAUUCUAGAGCAAUCUUAUGUUGUUCAGUAUGUUUUGCAAGAUCACAUGUGCGAAUCUUGUACAAGGUUUCAAGCAAACCCGGAUCAAUGGGUGGCUUCCGUGCAGCUGAGACAACGAGUUUCACACAGACGCACUUUCUUUUAUCUCGAGCAGCUCAUCCUAAAGCACGAUGCUGCAGUCCAUGCUAUCAAAAUCAAGCAGAUGGAUCAGGGUAUAAGAGUCAUGCUUUGAAAUUCGUGGAGUUUUUGGAUAAAGUUGCUCCAACAAACCGUAGAGAGAGCAAACAGCUUGUUUCUCACGACCCUAAGAAUAAUAGCUACAAUUAUAAGUAUACUUUCUCUGUUGAAAUAUCCCCGAUUUGCCGUGAGGAUUUGAUUUGUUUGCCUCCUAGACUUGCUGUUAGUUUGGGGAAUCUCGGACCGCUCGUGAUCUGCACGAAAGUAACAAACAACAUUGCAUUGCUCGAUCCACUUACUCAAAGGCAAUGUUUCUUGGACCCUGACCAGUAUUGGAGGUAUUCCUUUAAGUCUCUACUCGGUAGCAGGCAGUUGGUUGAAUAUGAUGUCUUUAAUGUGGAAGUUGUUUCUCCAGAAUUUAACGUCGGGGGCUCUAAAUACGUCAUGGCCGAUGUUGAGGUGGCUCGUGUCACUGAUUACGGUAAGUUGUUCUAUGUAAGAACUCAUCUGGGCCAUAUAUUAAAACCUGGAGAUCAUGCUCUCGGUUAUGACCUAUAUGGUGCCAACAAUAACGAUAAUGAGCUAGACAAGUAUCAGAAUCUUGUAAUUCCCGAAGUGAUUUUGUUAAAGAAGAGCUACGAAGAGAAACGCCAGAAGAAGCGUGGGAAGCCUCGUCCUUGGAAGCUUAAGUCUCUUGAUAUGGAACUCGAUGAAUCCAAAGGUAGAGGAUACGAAGAAAAGAUGAACACGGAAUACGAAGAGUUCUUAAGAGAUUUAGAAGAGAACCCUGAAUUACGGUUCAACUUAUCGCUGUACCGCAACAAAGAUUACCAACCAUCGGAAAUGGCAUCUAUGUCAGAUGGCGAUGAUGUGCCUUCAGUUCCAUUGGAAGAGUUGCUUGCUGAUCUCGAGUUGAGCGAUAAGGAAGAUGGUGACGAUAGCAUGAAAGACUAAUGAUCAAAGUCGCAGUUUUCUAUAAUUGAUUAAUUUUCUUGUGAGUUUUGCUUGAAAAUGGUGUUUUGAGUUAUUUGCUUUUAUGCCCUUUGUUUCUAAAGCGAAUAAAGUUUUGUUGCUGCCCUGUUAAACUGGGAAGCUUUUGGUUGCUUUCAUGGAGUCCUUUGAGUGAAGACUAAUCUCGCUUUUGCUCUCACUGCUCAAGUUAGAAAUAUCUAUUACAAUUACUUAGAUUAUUUUACUUAGAUUAUUUUCUUAAAUCCAUAGAUUUUCUAAAACCCUAAUUAUUAAUUUUUGGGUUCGACGGAUUCACAUUAUUAAACCUUUGUCCAAAAUAUAUGUAUUUUAUUCUUGAAGGAUCAAACUAAAAGAGUUUCCAUUAUACUUCUACCUUUAAUCAUCUCACCACCAGUAAUGAAAGCUUUCCAUGGCCGAGCUUUACAAGCUAGUCCAAUGUUAGACUUACGCCUAUACCUGUUACCAAGUUCUAUACAAGUAAAAAUUGUCCUCAACAUGGAAAAGGUACAAACCCUUAUUUUACUUUAUUAGCAAAUUCCAUGAAAAAACAAAGAGAGCCUCUAAAAAAAAUUUAUGGGGCAAAUCAAAGGUACUUCACCUCAAUUAAACAAGGAAUGACUAAAAACAGUUAUCACAUUUUUUUCACUUAAUUCUUUUUUUAAAUGAAAAACCAUUGACAUGAAAGGUAAGAUGGCAACACCAUGAAUGUCAAUAACAGACUAAAACUUCAAAACUCUUUUCAAGUCUACCAUACCCUUACCAAAAUGAGCUCCUCUUUUUUUUUUUUAAGCUCUCAAGGCUUGAGUGCCAAAGCAAGUCCGACCUUGGGGCUCUUAUCGAUGGACUUGGUAUCCACCUCUCCAGAAAUGGUAAAGAGCGAUUUCGGGCGCCACUCGUGCUGGAUGAGUGCACUUGCCUUGCCAGCAUUGUUCACCCGUGCCUUGAUUGUGGUUAAUGGAUCCAAUGCAUGUUGUGUACCCACGGUGAUGGUGUUCACAUUGGUAGAGAAGCUAUGAGUCACCUCAGCACCAACAGCAGUGUUGGUUGAUGGAUUCACAAUAUGGUAGUAAGAUGCGUUAACUGAAUCACCCUUUUCAUUCCUGCAUCGACAAACAAGAUAUUAAACUUGAGAUUAUAUCAUUUGGAAUGUUCAGCUGUAGAUAGGUAUAUAGAACAUAACCACAUACAGAGCCAAAGAAGCAAUGAGGUCUGCAUUGGUGAAGCUGAAUCCCGCGUUGCAUUUGGUGAAAUUCCCAGUCUUUGUGUCGAAUGAGAUAUCGGUACCUAGUGCAAGAACAUUUGUUCCAAGCACACCCGAAAAGUUAACUAUCGGGUUGGCAGUCAAUCCAAUGCUUGAGCUUAUCCCAGCAUACUCAUGCAAAUACUGGAGUUCAAUCUGGUAUACACAAAAGCGAAAAAACAGACAUGUCCAACAGCAUCUCAAAACACAUUCUAAGUAACACGUUCUUGAGCCAAAAGCCAAAACAAGAAGGAAGUUUCAAAGGAUACAAAUUGAAAUCUGAAGACAGAAUUUUGUACCUUGCCAGACCUCUGAUCAGGGACUCUGAAGCCAAAGAUUGCCUUUAGCCCGGGUGCAGGUUCAUCAACUGUUAUGGUGGUAAAUAGCUGAUAAACAUAAAUUACUUUAGUACAACAAACAAUUUUCAAAAAGGCUUACAAAAGAUGGAAAACAUAUAUAUCAACAACAAAGGAAUAUAAGAAGGUAAAAAAGGAACUACGAACUAAACCAAAGAGAUCCUUCAAUUGAAAAGCAUUUCGGCCAAAUAGGUCAGGUCCCAAGCAGUAUGAUGUUCUAAACAAUGUUAUCAAGCAGCUACUCUCCUAGUUAAAGCUUGGGUUUCAAACAUAGAGGGGACAAGACAUGAUUACUAAUUUUAUUAUAAUAGAAGUCAGAUGAAGGCCGAAGAAUAUAUAAUGGAGUAAAGAGCAUCAUAUCUAACUUGCAAAAGAGAAAUUUCAACCAAUAAUUCAAACUUAUAGAUAAAACUAGAAGUACUUGCAUUGGAGCUGGUGUCCACUUUGAUAUCAGUUGUAACAUUCCUAGACUUCAGUUGGGUAUUAACAUCAGCCAAGAAAAGAUCACCUUUCUUCGUUCCAGUAGAGGUAAUUGCCUGAAAAUAAAGGGAAAAACAACAAAACAAGGCCAAAUUAGUUCAAGUUCUCAUAGCAGAUUGAGAAAUCGAACAUCUUUGAUGAUACAUUGCAGUUAAAAGAUUGAGAUAACCAUGAUGAAAUUCAAGAAAAAUAGCUGCUAUUAUACUUCAAAAAUUGAAUACACACAUACAUAUGUUUGGAAAGCAUACACUUUACCUUUAAUUUCAGCUUAAAUUAAACAUCCUUUUUUGUAAUUAACAUAAUUUUAUUCUUAAAAAACUAAACAAAAAAAUCUAAAAAAAUGUAAACAGAAACAGCAUUUAGGUUCACUGGAACAAAGAACACAUGCAUUUUAUAUAAAAUUAAAUAUGAAAAAAAUCACAACUUGAGUUCAAAUGAAUUCUUCAAUAAUGACUAAAGAAAACAUAAUCUAGAGAAAAAAAAAUUAAACAAACCCAGAAAAUAAGAACCAAACUUACAACACCAGUGGGAGAGCUAGUGGUCAAAGUGAACUUUUGGUCAGUCUGAUAAUCCUUGUAAAGAAGAUCUAUAAAAUCCCAAAAAUUGAAAAAUUAGACAUAAAUAUUACAGGUUUAAAGCUUUCUUGUUUUAAAAAAAAUUUAUACCUCUGGCUUUCUUGCCGAUUUCAGUGUAGAGACCAGGACCCUUGCCCAUGAUAUUUUGCUUGGAAUUUCAGUGAUAAAGAAAGGAAAAAGAAAUGAAGCUCAAAACCACAGAGGUGGAUAAAAUAAAUAGGAGAAUCCAAAAACCCUAACUUUCACCAUCCAUUUCGGGGAUUGGGGGUUUCUGGUUUAAAAAAAAUAUUAUUUUAUCAAUGAAAAAUGUGGACCGUUGGAUGGUAGAGGUGGGUUGGUUUCUCGCUGCUUUCACCGUUGAUCCCUUUUUCAAAGUCUUUAUGUUAGUAUUAAAUAUUUUAUUUUUGGUUAUUUUUUAAUUUAUUAUUAUGUUAUUUUUUUAUAGAAGGUACAAUUUCUCAAUAAUUCAUAAAUGGGAUAAUAAUAUAUUUUAGUGUAUUUAAAUUUAUGUUUUUUUGUAUUAAUAACAAUUUACAGACCAAUUGAGUUAAAGACUCAAUAUAUGUUGGUUUUAAUAUAGAAAUAAAAAUAUUUUUUCCAUUUAAAAAAGUAAAAGUAUUUUAAAAAUUUUAAUUUAAUUUGUAUUUAAUAUGUGAUUUUAAUGAGAAUAAUUUAUUAAAUAAAAUAUUUUCAAAUUUAAAUAAAAUAAAACUUAAAUUAUUUAUAUACAUACUUAAAAAAAAUAUUUUCUACAUGUUAUUGUGUUUGUUUCAUGAAAAAUAUUUAUCAGUUAAUAGAAAAUAAAUCUUUUUUCUUGUAAAAUAACUUAUUGUUUACAUAAAUUAUUUUUUAAAAAUUAAGUCAUUUAUAAAUAAUAUUAUUUUUAUAUAAAAAUUAACUUCAAUUAAACCUAAUUUUUUUAUAUUGAUAAUAAUUUUUUAAUUUUAAUUAUAAAAAUUAAACAUAUAUUUUUAAUCAUCUGUAUUUAAUAAUAUAAUUUAUUUAUUGUAAUAAACUAUUCAAUAUUUUAAUUUUAUUUUAAUAAUAAAUGUUAAAUAAUAUUCUUUGUGAAAAAUAUUUAUAUAUAUUACAAGUAUAAAUAUAUUAAUAAUAAUUGUUUUAUAAUAUAAAGGUUAAAUUAUGUCAUAAGUUCAUGUACUCUUUAUAAAUUUAGAAUUUAGUCCAUUUAGUUUUAUUUUUGAGAAUUUAGUCAUUCUACUUUUUAGAUUUCAAAAAUUCAAAUUCAAUUGUUAAUAUUGUUAAAUUUAUUUUGUUAAUUUCGUUGAUGUGAUAUUUUUAAAUAAAAAUACUCGCUUGGUAGCCAUGUAACUAAAAAAUGACGUUGUAAUGAACUUGAAUUUAACAAAAUAAUUUUAAUAGUGUUAACAAGUAGAUCUGAAUUUUGAAAUCUAAAAAGUAGGAUGACUAAAUUCCCAAAAAUAAAAUUAUAGGGACUAAAUUCUAAAUUUACGAAGAGUAUAGGAACUUAUGACAUAUUUUAACAUAGUAUAGAAUAUGAAUAUUUCUUUAAAUCACGUUUAGCUUCAUUUAUUCUUUCCUACUUUAAUGCGUCAAUAUAUACUUAAUGCGUCAAUAGGUACUUUCAUAUAUAUAAUUAUGUAAUUUAAAUCAAGUUUUAAUUAGGUAUUAUUUAUUAUUAAGUUUAUAUAUGAUACUAAUUAUUAUAAAAUAUUUUUUGAUUAUCAAAAGAAAUAUUUUGUAACAAAUAUAUUUAUGUCGUAUUGGUUUUAGUAAGAACAACUUUUUAGAAAAUGACUUUAGGGAAAUUUGUCAAACAAUGGAAAAUAUUUUACAAAUAAAUAUCCAAAUACAAAAAAUUAUCAGCUUUUUCAGAAAAUCAAUUUAUUUUCCAAAGCCUUAAAUAUUCUUUUGAAACUUUUAAUUACUCUUUUAAUUUUUAUAUUGAUGUUAAAAUGCGUGUAAUUUUUACAAGAAAGUAGAUAAGAGCUCUUUAACAUUAAAAUCUAGGGUUUUAUAAGUAAAAUUAUAGGUUAGGGGCUACAAAAAUAAUUUAAGGGCUUGUUUAAAUAAAGUAGUAGUUUAAGAGUUUUUUUAGUAUAUUACCCUUUAAUAUUUAAGGUAAAUUGUAUUAGUAGUCACUCAAUUAUGAAAAACUACAAAAAUUAUCACCUAACUUUUUAAUUUUAUCUUUUCUAGGCAUUCAUGGUAUUUUUAUGUACACGUGUCCAACUGUAAUCCUCCCUAAAUAGUAUAGAUAUUUAAAUAUUUUAUAAUUAAACUUAAAUUUGAAAUAAAAGAAAAUUUAUUAUCAAAUGAUAAUUGGAAUCCAAAUAAAUCAUUUUCAUAUACCAAAGAGAGUUGCAGAAAAAAACAGUGGAGUGACACAUAUGGUUAAUAGUUGAACAGUUAAGGACCAAGUAUUAAGUUUAUGCUUCAUUUAAUCUUUUUUCCUAGCUAAAUAAAUCCAGAGGGAAUUUCUUGUAAUAUCCCCAUAAACUAUAAUUAAAUAAUAAUUCAAAUUGAAUAUUUUUGGUGUUUGAUUCCAUAGGGAACUCAGUCAAUUACAGCUUCCUAGUGGCUACCAUGAAAGAAGGUACCCAUUGUCAGCCAUAAGAUAUUGAAUUACACUGCGUGUUUUGUACUUGAUAGGUUGAUUAACAGCUUAUGUCAUCUUUUAACUCUUUCAUACAAAUCAAAAUGCUCAAUGGAAUUUCCGGUCUAUUUCUUGUAAAUAUAGCUCAUCUCCUUUGUUCUUCCUUUUUAACUUUUUUCACAUACGUAUUCUCCAUAUCCGUAAAAGUUUUAAUGGAGGCUUUUUAUUGUAUUAAGAGUUAAAUUUUAUUUUAAUUUUAUUAAAAAAAUGGGUUUAAGUAUUUGGUCAAUAACAUCAAUUUUAACGAUAAAAAUAAAUAAAAUUUAUUCUUUAAUCUAAUAUAUAGACAUUAAUUUAUUCAAUUUUUGAAUAAAGACGAUAAAAUGUAAUGUAAUCUAAUAAAAACUUUUAACUUUUGUGUAGGGACGAAGCCAGCAGGGGGUUGGCAUGGCCCGACUCCCUUAAAAUUUUUAAAAUAUUUUAAAUUAAUAAAGGUAAAAUUAUACUUUGACCCCUUUAAAAUUAUAAAAAUUCGAUUUAAUCUUUUACAAAUUAUAAAAAUAUAAACUAUAAAAAAUUAAAAUUUCAUCCAACCCCUCUGAAAAAUUUUUCAAGCUUUGCCCCUGCUUUUGUGUAUAUUAUAUAUGGGUUGGCAUUGACAAACAAAGUAGGGACAUCUAAAAUUCGUCAAGACAUUGCAAAUUUGUCUUAAUUUGUUCAUAGUGAUCAUCAUUACACUUGUUUUGGAUUAAGGAAAUAUUUUCAACAACGAUAACGAAACAUAACAAUUCCAAAUUUCAUAAAUCACAUUAUAUAUAUAUAUACAUCAACUCUUUACACUCUAUAGAGAUCAAGCAGCCAUUGAAAGGAAAAAAAGUGAAGCUACAAAACAGAUAAAAAGAAGAAAAGAAUAUCAAGGUGACAAGAGAUGGAAAUGAUGAUGGUUAACAAAGCACAAUGCCUAGGAAGCCACCUUCGCCGGUUGUGCUCAGUUGUCGAUGAUGAGGUUCAAGCCGUAAGGUGUGUGAAGAGACGGCGAAGAACUCCAGGUUCGGUUGCGGUCGGAUUUGAUGGGAAUCAAGGACUGGUUCAAGUUCGACCCCAGCAACAAAAUGAUCAAGGACCCAUUGCUGCUACUACUGUGAAAAGAAGUUCAAGGUUUCGAGGUGUCAGCAGGUACGAACUAGGCCUUUCUAAAGUCGAAACCGUAAAAUAACGAUCGUAACAUUACGUUUUUAAGGUUGUUUGACUGUAACUAAUAAUGGAAAAUUAUAGACAUAGAUGGACUGGACGGUAUGAAGCUCACUUGUGGGAUAAACUCUCUUGGAAUGUUACACAGAAGAAGAAAGGGAAACAAGGUAAUCUUUUUUCUUUCUUUGUUUUGGUUUUAGGGUUUGGGGUAUUAUCGUUCUGGUUUAUCGAUGCUUAUGUAUUGUUGUAUGAUUUUAUGUUCUUCCAUUGGUUCCUGCUGUGGAUUUCGCUCUUGGGGAUCCUGCAGUUUAUCUUGGUGAGUGCAUACAAGUUACACUUUUUUCUAAAACAAAAACUACUCUCAUCUUAUAGAGAAAUGAAUCAUUUUUACUAAAUUUUCAGGAGCUUAUGAUGACGAAGAAGCUGCUGCAAGAGCAUAUGAUUUAGCUGCACUUAAGUAUUGGGGAACAUCGACUUUCACUAAUUUCUCGGUAAUUCGUGUUUUUUAUUAAGAAAAAGUUGCAUAUAUGAAGAUUGCUUAUACCCGAAUUUAUAAGUUUGAAUAUAUAUUAAAGAAAUGAUGUAAUAACUCCCUUUGAUGAUUCCUGCAGAUAUCAGAUUAUGAAAAAGAGAUUGAAAUAAUGCAAACAGUGACAAAAGAAGAAUACUUGGCCUCAUUAAGAAGGUAAAACUCUAUAUAUCAAAUCAAAAAUUCAUAUAUACUUAAACUGAAUUCUAAAAAUAAAAAAUGUGACUUCCAACUUCUUUGUUUUCAGAAGGAGCAGUGGGUUUUCAAGAGGUGUGUCCAAGUAUAGGGGAGUUGCGAGGUACAGAUAUAAGUGUUGGAUUACAUGCAUGUGCAACUAAGAGGGCACUUAGGCAAUGUUGACUUAAGUCUCGUGUCUCAGCUCGUGAGACAAGAACAUAUGAAAAUUUUAUGCAAAUGCACAAAUGAAGUAAAGAUUUUUCUUUUGAUGAAUAAUCAUGCAGGCACCAUCACAAUGGGAGAUGGGAAGCAAGAAUAGGGAGAGUCUUUGGAAACAAAUAUCUCUACCUAGGCACUUACAGUAAGUUUAUAUAUCUAUGUUGCUUUGAAGCAUUUGUGUCCAAUAUCCGUAUUCUUACACUCAUGUCCGAGUGCUUAUGAUAUUGCAGGCACCCAAGAGGAAGCAGCUCGGGCUUAUGAUAUAGCAGCAAUUGAAUAUAGAGGGAUAAAUGCAGUGACCAACUUCGAUUUGAGCACAUAUUUCAGAUGGUUAAAACCAGGAACAAUGGUAGAGCCUGAAUCUAAGCCUUCAUUUCACCAUUCUUUACCAACAGAUUACUUGAAGUCUCCAGAAAAACAGGAAGUUUUCAAAACCAAAACCCCAUCGUCAUCGUCGUCAUCGCCUACAGCACUAGAUCUUCUCUUUCGAUCAUCGAUAUUCCGAGAACUGGUAAAAAAGAACUCAAACGUGUCGUCCGAAGACGGAAGCAGUGUUACAGAUGGGGAUGAUGAAUCAAAGAACCAACAAGGAGGAAAUGGUGUUGAUGCUGAUGAUGAGUUUAGUAGGCUGUUUUAUGAUGGCAUUGGUGAUUUUCCAUUUAUGUGCUCUUCUACCAAAAGUAGCAUUGAAUUGAAACAUAUGUAAUUCCUUCCAUUUUAGUUACUUUUGUAAAUAAAUUAGAUGUAAAAUGUACAAUUUGCUGUAAAAAUUGAGUAUUUUCCGUUUCUUUUUUUUUUUUUAAUGUUGGUACAUAGUGUAGCAUAGGUUUAGGUGGAAAUUGUAAGAGGAAUUUGGGAUCAUGUAAUCUCCCCCUUUUGUGAAUAUAAUAAUGUUAAAUUUAGUUGAUAUCUUUUAUUAAUUUAAUUUUUUAGUUAAAUUUCACUCUUAUUAAUAUUUCAAAUAAUGUCAAAUUAUUUUAUUUUUAAUGAAAAUAUUAACUAAAAUAUUAAUUGUUUCAAUAAUAUUAAUGUGACAAUCUGUUUAAUCAUUUAUGUGUACUUUAUACUAAUAUAAACACUAUUUACCUUAUAUGCCACACUAAUAAAUAAUUUUAAAAAUUAUAAAAAAAUUAUAAAAAUUUCAUAAAAAUUAACAUGAAGCUAACUCUUUUUAAAAAAUUAUAGUCAAGUUUAACUAAAAAAUUAAACAUAAAAAAUGUAAUCUUUGAGAGCUAAAUCUGACAUCCCAAAAUUUUGGAGGACUAUAUAGCAAUUUCACAAAAAUAUAGACAGAAACAAAACACUUGGAACAACGCAGAUCUCAUCUAAACUCUCGUAUCCAUACUUCCUUCCCUUCCCACAAAUCCCCUCAAAGAAACAUAAUUCUCCGCAAUUUCCCAAAUCUGCAUCUUUAGGGUUCUGUUUUUAACUUUCAAUUCCCAAACUCAGAUCUUAAUUUGUUCAAAUAAGUCAAAAAAGGUGCAAAAUGUACGGAUUCGAAGCUAUGACAUUUAACAUCCACGGCGGUUACUUGGAAGCGAUCGUGAGAGGUCACAGGGCCGGACUCUUAACCGCCGCCGAUUACAACAAUCUUUGCCAAUGCGAAACCCUUGAUGAUAUCAAGAUGCAUCUCUCCGCCACCGAGUACGGCCCUUAUCUCCAAAACGGUAAGUCUCUUUCAUGAUCUUCAAUUUAAUUGCUUUUUUCAAUUUCAAAUCUGCUAAGGUAAUUCCUUGAUUUUGGUGUGAAUUGAGCCGAAAUUGCUAUUUACUACAACUUCAUGCUGUUAAUUCAAGGUAUAUCUGAUUAAUAUAAUGAAUUAUGGGAUCUCAUUUUAAUUUUAUUAUAUGCUUUGCAGAACCCUCACCAUUGCAUACGACUACAAUUGUAGAGAAAUGCACUCUUAAACUUGUUGAUGAGUAUAAGCAUAUGUUAUGCCAAGCUACGGAGCCAUUGUCCACCUUCUUAGAAUAUAUCACGUAUGUAAAGAUUCUUUCUGUGAAUUGCUUGUGACAUAUUGAAUUAUCCUUCUCUUAGACAAUGGUAAUUGAUUUAUUUCACAUCUAAUGAUCUGGGUUUCAUUUAAUUGAAUAUUAGCAGUGCUGAGCUUGUUCAGUAUCAUCUACGGGUGAUUUUUUAUAUGGUGGUGUGAAUUGUUGGUUAACUAUUUAGCUUAUUAGAAGUUUUUUUUUUUUUGGGGGGGGGGGGAACAUUGUAGGGUUGCUGACUUCGGUUGGGCUUUCUUGAGUUCUCAGUGAUCUAAGGAAAGAUGUCUGUUAAGAUGGUGCAAAUAUGAAGAUUGAUUAAUAGGUUUUUGUUGAUUUAGUGGCAUCCCAAGAAAAACUAACUUUUAUUAUUAUUCCAUAUAGAUAUGGUCACAUGAUAGACAAUGUUGUCUUGAUUGUUACUGGAACCUUGCAUGAGAGAGAUGUUCAAGAGCUCUUGGAGAAGUGCCAUCCUUUGGGCAUGUUUGACAGGUAAUUUAUCCUCUUGAUUAAGAUCAGGUUAUUAUCUAACCUCACCUGAUAUGUAUGCUAACUUUUCUGUUUUGCUGCUUCAGUAUCGCAACCCUGGCAGUUGCUCAGAACAUGCGCGAACUCUACAGAUUGGUUCUUGUUGACACUCCUCUGGCUCCAUACUUCUCUGAGUGUAUUACCUCUGAGGUACAUGCUUCUAACAACUUUCCUGAUUAUCUGUGUAUAAGCACACAUGUCCUAUUGUUAGUAGCUGUGUUGGGGUGUUGAUUGUGUUGAACGAUGUAAUAUUUGAACCUUUUAUUUUGGCUUCAUGUAUCUUGGACUUUCUCCAGGAUCUUGAUGACAUGAACAUUGAAAUCAUGAGGAACACUCUCUACAAAGCAUACCUUGAAGACUUCUACAAGUUUUGCCAAGUAAGCUUUUAAUACAGAAGAAAGACGGCAUUUCUUUUUGCAUAUGGAUUAUGCUACUUGUUUUCAUUUCCCUACUUGUUAAGUUAAACAUUCCUUUUUCAUAUAGAAACUUGGUGGUGCGACAGCAGAGAUCAUGUCUGACCUCCUUGCCUUUGAGGCUGACAGAAGGGCUGUAAAUAUCACCAUUAACAGGUACUAUUAAUUAUGUGAAAGGUUUACUUCAUAUAGUUUUCUAGUUUUACUCUAUGUACUUUCUUACCAUGUAUUUUCUAAUAAACAUGUUUGGUGUGGUUUACUUUCUGCAGCAUUGGCACUGAACUUACGCGUGAUGAUCGGAGGAAAUUAUACUCGAAUUUUGGUCUGCUGUAAGCUCAUUCUCUCUGGCCUGACUAUACGCCUUUAUUUUGGGUGUUAGGUUUGUUUGAGUUUUAUAUCUGAAAUGCUACUUCGUGUUAAACAGUUAUCCCUAUGGCCAUGAGGAACUUGCUGUGUGUGAGGAUAUUGACCAGGUUUGUUUCACAUAUUAUUCAUAGAUGAAGCUACUUCGAGUUCUUAUUCUUUUGCUUCGUUUGUUGUCUAGGUCCGUGCUGCGAUGGAAAAAUAUCCUCCCUACCAAUCAAUUUUCUCCAGACUAUCUUACGGAGAGAGCCAGAUGCUUGACAAGGCAUUUUACGAGGAGGAAGUGAAAAGGCUUUGCCUAGCUUUUGAGCAACAGGUUUAUAUUUUAUUUCUCAGGCAUCAAAUUAUCUUUGUUAAUAGCAACAAUCAAAGAAAAGCACAACUGCGGCAUAUGAUUGAUUUUAUUUCUUUAUAUUUCCUAUUUUCUUCAUCAAAUAAAUAAUGCAUCAAAUUUCACCUGCAGUUCCAUUAUGGUGUUUUCUUUGCAUACAUGAGAUUAAGAGAGCAAGAGAUCAGGAAUCUGAUGUGGAUCUCUGAAUGUGUGGCUCAAAACCAAAAGUCUAGGGUUCAUGACAGUGUGGUCUUCAUAUUUUAGAUGAUGGAGGAUUGGGUAGGAAUAAUUAAUCGGGUUGAAUCAGCUGUAAAUUUUCGUUUCUCUUCUUAAUUUAUCAACAUCCCAUAUUAUAAUUGGAGUGGUUUAGCUGCUCUGUUUCUAAGCAUUGUGUUGUUAAAGAAUAAAUGCCAUAUGAUUAUUAUAUAUAUGUUUGAUAUGGUUUUUUGGGGGUAAAAUGUUGUAUUCAGAUUGAUUAAAAUGUAUUGUUGUCUUGAAUUUGAGGUUGUUUUCAAUGAUUUAAUGAUGAAGUUUCUAGGAAAUUUCAUGUUCUGGUAUGUAUGUAUGGUUUGAGUUAGAGUUGAUGGUUACUUAUUAUAGAAGGAUGGGAUGACUGAUGUGGUUGGGUGGGCCCUGGAAAUGAAAUAUAAUGUUUUGCCUUAAAUUUUCUUUUAAUUUUUUUAACAAUGCUAGCAUGACAUGACAAUUUGUGUGGCUCUCUCUCUAUAUUUUAUGCUGAUAUAAUAUUAUUUGUUCGUCGACAAAUAAUUUAAAAAUUAUAAAAAUAUUUAAAAUAUUUAAAAAUAAAAUUAGCAUGAUAUAUACGUUGAUUAUAAUGCGGACUGUCAUGUUUAAAAUUUAACAUUUUAAUCAAUGUUUUCUUCAACAAUUCGAUUAUUUUUGAAUGGUGAAUGAUCAAAUUCAAUUCUUAUUAAAAAUUUGAGGAUCAAAUUUAGUUUAAAAAAUGAAGAAGCUAAAUUGAUAAAAAUGUGUAAAUAUUAAAGGCUAAAUUUGUUAUUAUGUCUUAUUUUUAUUAUAUUGUUAUUUAAUGUUAAAUAUAAUAUUAAAUUUUAUUUAAUAUGAAAUCAUUUCAAUAUAUUUUAUUAAUAAAUAUUUAUACUAUUUUUAAUAUAAAUCUAACUUUAAUACUUAUACUAUCAUUUAAUAUUAAUUUAAAUUUAUUUAUUGUUUAACAUAAAUGAUUAAAUAGUUUUACUUUAUUAUAUGCAUGCAUAUUUUAAUAUAUCCUUAAUUUUUAUUUUAUACUUUUAUUUCAUCGUCAUCGUUGCUAUUAAAUUCAAACAUAUCUUACCAUUAAUUUUAAUCUCACUACUACAAUAACUAAUCUCACCAUUACCAUUAUUUUUAAUAUCACUAGAGUCAAUUUCGCCAUCCAUCUAAAGGGAGCCUAAGGAUGACAAUGAAGUACCAUGACCGAUAGGACAGAGAACCGACCAGGAUACUAGUUCGAAAGAAGGGAUUGGACCGGUUGCCCUCAAACAGGUUGAAUUGGUCCGUUGCACUUGUUUGAAUUAAUUUUCUAAAAUUUUUAAUAAUUUAUUCAAAUAAAUCGGACAAACUAGUUGAACAAAUUGAUUCAAUCAAAUAAAAAUAAUAAUGAUUUGAUAGGUUCGAUCAUAUCGAUUUGAUUUUGAAAACCUUGACUUUGAUUUUGAGAUUUGAGACGGACAACAUUUUUCUACAAUGACUUCUUGAGAUUUGAGAUUGCUUGUACAAUCAAUCCUCUAUAACAAUCACUAGAGGUGUUUAUGGGUUGGGCUGGGUUUGGCUGGGUUUAUGCAAGGUAUUUAGAAUACUUUUCUAAAUCCGUGCCUAAUUCGAAAAAUGACCUUAUUUUUUUGCCUAAGCUUAGAUUGAUUUGUGACAAGUAAACCCAGGUCGACCUGACUCGCCCAUAUAUGAUUUUUUUAGAUUAAUUUUUAUUUAAAAUUAUUUUAUAUAUAUAAUACACUAGAUGCACUGAAAAAAAGACUAAUAUUAAAAUAGUAGCAACAUAAUAGUAAAAUAGUAGCAAAAUAGGGAGAAAACAAUAAGAAACUAAUAUUAAAAAAAAGAUUUUGUCAUGUAGUGAAUUUGGACCAGGCCGGGCCCGGGCCAAAAAUGUCUUACCCGAGGCCUAGCCCGUUUUUUAAACGGGCCUUAUUUUUUUGCCCAAGCCCAUUUUUUGGGCCUAUAUUUUUUCUCAAACCCUCCCACAUUUCGGGCGGGCCACCCAGCUCGGCCCAUGCACACCUCUGCUUAUGUAACUAGGUAAAUAUUUUUUAAAUCUUGUGCAAUGAGUUUUAUUGUUAUUGGAUUAGUAAUUUAAUAUAAAUAUAAAUAUAAAUAUAUAUAAAUAUUAUUUAACAUAUAUAAUUAAUAUAAUAUUAUUUUAUAAUAUAAAAUUUUGGUCUGGUCGAGCUUGAGCCAAAAAAUUUGCCCAAAGCCUAGCCCAUAUAAAAAACGGGCCCUUUAUUUGUUUUAAGCUUCAAGCUUAAAGUUCAAGCCUUUUAGUAUAUAUAGAUAAGGUUGACUUUAAUUGUUUUAAGGUUUUUCUUGUACUAUUGAUCAAUGAUGAUUUUUUUUUUAAUUUUUAUUCUUCAUCUCCAUUUUAUAGUUAACGUUAAGAUUCAUGAUUGUCCCUUCUAAUAAUGUAAUCUAUAAAAUUAGAACAUAUAUUUUCUCUUAAAAGUGUAAUAUACCUUGCCAUUAAACUUAAUAUUUGCGGAUAUGUUUUUGAGGUUCAAAGUUACAGAGAAUAUUUAUUGUUAAGGAUAUUUUUUUUCAUGUGUUUGAUUUAAAUCGCAUGCUUUUAAAUUAUUAUUUUGGAAGCGUUAUUACUUGUUAUGUGAUAGCAAUUUAUUUAUGAUAUAUUUUUAGGAUAAAUUUCAAAAUUAUAUAGAAAUUUUAAUUUUGUUCAAUUCCUAUAAAAUAUUAAUACAAUUAUUGAUAUAACAUCAUUUUAUAUUUAUAUAUUACAUAUAAAAAUAAUUAUAUUUAUCUAAUAUAAAAUUAAAUUUAUAUAUAUUUUUAAAAACGUAUAAUUGAAUUAAAAAUAAUUUAUCUUAUAUUUUCUUUUUCAUUUUCUAUAUCUUAUUGCAAAGAAGAAUAAUCAAAUUAUAAUAUAAGAUAUAGUUAAUGCAUUUAGAAAUAGUUUAUGAUUUUUAAAAUAUAAAAUAUUUAAAAAGUAAAAUUGGGUAUUUCAAAAGGUGAGUGGGACAAAAUUUGUAUUAUUGGCAUCAACUUAUCACCUCAUAUAUGUUAAAUUAAAUAACAUAUGUAGACAAAAACAAGGUGGAGAUUCAACAAUGUUGUAAUUGUUGCAGAAAUUACAGCUAAAGGGAUCUUACAUCCUGCACCCAAAAAAAAUAAAAAAUAAAAAAUAAAAAAAAUCUCUCUCUGGAUAGUCUCAUAGUUAAUGUACAAGCAUUGAAAUUUAUGUCUAAACUCUAUCUUUGAAUGAUUUUUUUUGUCCUCUUGUUAAAUUUAAUUAUUCAUAUCAUUUCCAUGUUUUUUUUCUUAUUACAAUAUACUUUUUUAAGGUAUUAUUAUAAAUUUAUGUUGAUACAAGUUAUCAACAGAGACAAAGAAAGGAGGACGAUGAUGAAAAAGGUUGGUUCACCCAUUAUAGGGUCGAGAGUCGAAAAUAUAGAGAGACUUAGGAUGAAUGCAUAGUGUAUUAGGGUUUUGAGAGAAGAGUCCCCCUACUAAGUUAUACCUUGGGGUAUUUAUAGAUAAGUGAGGGCUCCUAUCGAAUUAUGCUACUCAAUGACUCAAUAAAGGAUUUAAUUGGGUCUACAUGAGGGUAAGAUUAUAACAAUUUAUAUAACUUGACUUUAAUAUCUUGCGCUCGAACCUUAACGUUUGAUUUUCUGGUCAUGAAUGUUCAUCUUAAAACUCAUGUAGUGAGUUCGAAUCAUAGGGAUUGUUUGCUUGUGGUAUAUAUGUGAGAGAGUAAUUUGUUACCGCAUUAUUUAAUUUGUCAUAUUAUUCUCUAUUUUAUAUCAUUUAUCAUAUUAUUAUAUGGGUAACCUACAUACAAAAUCACUGAACUAUUAGUAAGUUUACAUUUUGGUCACUUUACUUUAGAAUUACAAAAUAAUCAUUAAACUAUUAAAAAUUUUCAUUUAAUUCGUUAGGCUGUUAAAAUUGCCACUAUAUAGCUUUCUCCAUUCUCACCUUUAGCACAAAUUGAAAGGGUAAAAUUCCUCUCUUCUUCUACAAUUUAGUUUUCUUUUUUUCUCUCAUGAAACAGCUUCGAACAUCAUAAAUUUUGAACCAAAAUUCAAACAACUUUCUUUUCGGAUUUUUGACACUGACUAUUAGAUCAGCUUGGAUAUGAGAUGUGUUCUUCUACUCAUCGAUGGCUACUAUUUCACUGUAUCGAUAGUCAAAUCGUUGCUCAAAACUCACCAACUGGACUUUAGAAAGAAAAAAGACUUUACAGUUUAAUGACUUAAAUGAAAACAUUCAAAUAGUUCAAUGAUGUUUUGUAACUUUUUAAAAUUGAGUGAUCAAAACAUGAACUUACUAAUAGUUUAGUAACAUUAGAUGUAAUUUAUCGUUAUUAUAUUUAUAUUGUGUAAUAGUAAUAGAAUCAAAAUUAUAUAAUCUACCUUGUGUUGCGAAAAAAAAAACACAUAUCAAUUCAGAUACGAGACAACGUGCCGUUUCCUAGUAACUUACAAAAACAAGAAAUGCAAGAAGCCAGGACUUUAAGCCUAGGCCUUUUGUAUAUAUCUAUAGAUCAAAUCAAUGUAUUGGAAAUUGUCUGAAUCAACUCAAUCAUGGGUGUUUGGUUCUUAUCAUUGUUGUUCUUCUUUUUAUGUUCAAAGGUGAGGGCAGAACUGAUACCAUCGUUGCCAGGACAAGAAGACCACCUUUCAUUUAGGCAGUAUUCAGGUUACAUUGUAACAGAUGCAGAACAUGGCCGAGCUCUUUUCUAUUACUUUGUCGAAUGUUCAUCCAAUGAAGAUGUACUCCACCCUUUAACAUUGUGGCUCAAUGGAGGUUUUUAACCAAUUAUCUUAUUUCCAUUUCUUUUUUUUUUGCAUUAAAUAAAAUCUAGAUUAUAAAGGUUAGUCGAACUGGUUAAACCGAGAUUAAUGACAUAUUUAGUCUAAAAAUUAUAUAAAAAAUGAGUAAUAAUUGAAACUAACAAAAAAUCGAAUAUAGUCAGGAAUUAGAUUAUAUUUUUAUGUUUUUAAAUUUUUAUUUGUAAAAUACUAGUGUUGAAUGCAAUUUUUUGUUAAAUAUAUAUUUAAUAUAUAUUUUAAAUCAACUAUAUAUUUAAUAUUUAUUUUGCAUAAAUUAGUAUUAAAAAUAUAAAAUUAUAUGUGUAUGUACAAGUUUAUUGGUUUAAUGGAUUCAAUUACUGAAAAAAAAUAUUAAUGACUUAUUGAUAUUAUUAUUUUAAUAAGAAAUUGAUGUCAUUAAUUGUUUGAUUUAGGCCCUGGUUGUUCAUCACUUGGAUUUGGUGCAUUCAUGGAAAAUGGUCCAUUCCAACCAGGAGAAAAUGGAACUCUUAUCAAGAAUCCUUAUUCAUGGAAUAUUGGUACAUCGAACUCUACUUUUGUAUACAUAUUUUUAGGUAUCAUGCAUGUAUUUCUAUUAAGAUUCGGAUUAUAUAUAUUUUUUCUAUUAAAAAAUAAAUAAAAUAAUUUUUAUAUAUUAGAUUAAAGAAUAAAUUAAUCAUUUUGUUAAAAAUUUCAUUCAUUUUUAAUGUUAAAAAUUGAUCCUUAUACAUUAGAAUGAGGUACACAUGAUUAUUCCAUCAGUCACGUCAAUUUUUAAUAGUACAAAUGAAUAAAAUUUUUAACUAAAAAAAUUAAUUACUUUUUUUAAUCUAACAUACAUAAAUUAAUUUAUAUAUUUUAAAAUAAAAAAGUAAAAUAUAAUCUGACUUUUAAUGCAGAGGUAUUACCCAUGUAUUCACAGUUUAAAUUCCUUAUUAUUUAUUAAAGAUUUUCCUAUUAUGAUAGAAUCCCACAUGUUAUACCUGGAAUCGCCAAUUGGAGUUGGAUUUUCGUACUCCAAUACUAGCAAGGAUUACAUCGAUUGGAAUGAUACACAGACAGGUCUGUAUUUUCCUAUUCAUCCUUAACCCUACUUCAUAUUUAGAAAUUCUAUGAAGAUUAUAUAUAUUUAAAACAAUUAAGAGUUGGGGUGAAGCAAAAAACUAUGGACUGAUCCUCAUGUGAUGAUGAUUGUUUUAAUUGUGGCAGCUGAAGAUAACUAUAGGUUUAUUUUGAAGUGGUUGGAAGAAUUUCCCCAAUUCAAAGAUUGUGACUUUUUCUUAGCCGGUGAAAGCUAUGCAGGCCACUAUAUCCCACAACUGGCAGCCUUGUUAGUGGAGCACAACAAGAACCCUAACGUGGAACCAGUCAACCUCAAAGCCAUUGCUGUAAUAUACAAAUGAUAUGGUUAUCACCUUUAAACCUAUCAAAAUUCAUUAGUUUCAAAACUUAAAAUUCGAUUAUUUUCUUCAUUUUAUAGCUUGGGAAUCCACUUUUGGACCUGGACAUCAGUGUACUGGCCGGGGACUACUUAUGGUCUCAUGGUGCUAUAUCAGAUGAAACCCUCUUCUUGGAGAAGACGGUGUGCAACGAUUCCAAGUAUAUGCGAGAAUACGUUCAUUCACAAUGGUCUCAAGGGUGCAAUGAUGUGUUCAAUAGAGUUGCAGAUGAAGUGAGUCUCGAUGUGGGAUUCGAUGAUCUUCUCUUGCCGGUUUGCACAUCUUCGAGCAACGUCGAGCAAUUUAAACUUAGAAGCAUAUAUUCAGCUGUAUGUCUCUUCCUUCCUACAUAUAUAUUAUUUGGACUCUUCAUUUUGGGAAUUUUUCUUGAGCCCCUCUCAAAUAUUAAAUUAUUUUAUUUACUUCUUAAUUUUUAAUUUUGACCCUUCACUUACUUUCAAGUAUGAGUAGCAUAUUUAUAUAAGUAUUAAAAUAGCAAUAUGAUGAGAUUGAUAAUUUUGCUUUUAACACUUGCGAAGGUUGGUAAGAGAGAAAAGAAGGGUGAUCCAUGCCUUAAAGGAAGAAUAUUUUCCUACCUUAAUAAGCCUGAAGUUCAAAAGGCACUCCAUGCCAAUACAACUCACCUCCCUUUCCAUUGGGAUUUUUGUUUAGGGUAGUUUUCUUUCUCUUUCAUAUUCAUAUUAUUGGACUGAGUUGAUUCAAAAAAAUUUCUAAAAAUUUAAAAUUUUGGUUGACUUGAUUGAUGCAAUCGAUUAGACCAAUGAUAAUAAAUCUUAUCGGUUGGAUUUUUAAUCCUAUUUUUUAACCUAUAUAUACACAUUUAGGGUUAAUUAUUUAAUAUUGAAUAGUAUAGAGAGAGUAAAACUAGGGUUUUGCAGGCCUCUUGUCUACCAAGAAGAGAACAUAGACAUGAACCUUAUUCCUCUUGUCUCAAAUCUUAUCAAGGAGGGUAUUCCUGUCUUAUUGUAUAGGUAUGCUGUUUCCAUAGUUAUAAUUCUUCAUAAUUUUACAUAAUUUCUUCAACAUUUGCUAGUUGGUGCUUCAUAUAUUAAUAAUUGUAAUGUUUUCUUCUUCUUAAUUGUAAUGUUUUCUUCUUCUUCUUCUUCUUUUAAAAUUUAAAAUAGUGGGGACCAAGAUGCAAAAAUCCCACUUACUCAAACAAGGAUAAUUGCUAAUAACAUUGCAAAGGAAUUGAAUCUAAGUCCCUUUUCAAACUAUGGCACUUGGUAUGACCAAAAACAGGUAUCACCUAAAUCUCUCUUGGUAAAUUAAUGAUUGCAAUCCUUUAAUAAAUUUGAUUUUUGCAACAUUGAAUUAUUGUAGGUUGGAGGAUGGACACAAUCAUUUGGUGGAGAAGAUGCAAAUGGGAAGAAUGUAACAUAUCUAACAUUUGCAACAGUGAGGGGUGCAGCUCAUGAAGUACCUUUCACUUCACCUUCACAAGCCCUCACAUUGUUCCAUUCAUUUGUGAAUGGAAUUCCUUUACCUAGGCCUUCCAAUUGAACCCCAUUGUCUCAAUCACUUUCUUUUCUUUCUUCUCACAAUAAAUAAGGAUGAGUUUGUUCCAAGACUAAAAUAGCUUUCAAUCUACAUUCCCAAAUAAAUCUUCUUCUUUUUCAUCUGUGUUUCAAGUUUUUGUUAGAAGGAUAUGUGAGAAUGGUUUUGAGGAGGUGGAGUUGAAAGCAGUUCCAUUUUUGCUAAGCCCAUAAAAUUUUAAUAAAAAUAACAACCCCAAGUAGAGAUAGGAUAACAUGCAUAAGAUUAUAUUAGUCAAAGAAACACCAAAUUUUCCAAUAAAUAAAAGGUAUAAUAUUAAAUUUAGUCCUCAACAUUUAUUCUUUUUUUUUCUUAAUUUGGACUUUAUUUUAUUAAAUUUAACCAUCAACCUUUUAAAAAGACUCGAAUUUGACCAACAGUCUUUUUAAAAAUAGUUGAAUUGUUUUCUUUAUAACAAAAAUAUUGACUUAAAUGUUAAAUUUUUAAAUAUGACAGUAUGCAUGGCAAUAUUUUUUUUGAAUUUUUAAGAAUUUUUUAUUUUUUUUGAAAAUUAAUUUUUUUAAAAUUUAAAUUAUUUGUUGACAUGUCAUGUUAGACAAAUGGUGUCAUGUCAGUAUGAAGUACAUGUUAACAAGGGAAAAGUCAGAAAAUUUUUUUGAGAGGCCGAAAUCAAAUGAUAUAUUUUUACGAUGGUCAAAAUGUAAUUUCACCAUUUUAAUAGUUUAUUUCUUUACAAUUUUUAAAGUAUUAAAACAAUUUUUUAUCAAUUGUGGAUGUCAAAAUAUAAUUUUACCAUUACUUAUUUAAAAUUUUAUAAAAUAUAAAGGGCCUAAUUUUUUUUUCCUUUUUAGGGAGGUCAAGACCCCUACUGCCACGUGAAUUGUCAUGUCAAAAUUGUUAAAAAAAUUAAUAUUUUAACUGUUUUUUAAAAUGUUGAUAACCAAAUUUUACCUGAAAAAGAAUUAAAUUAAAAAAAUAUAAAUAUUAAAGACUAAAAUUAACAUUAUGCCUAAAUAAAAUAAUAUUACAGUAGAAAACACCAACCAUUAGCAGAAACUUAGAGGUGAUAAAAUAUUAACACAUCCCCAAAACAAUAUGCAUACAAACAUGUCAAAAACAGCCUUUUAAGGCACUCAACAACCUUAAAGACACAAACACAACCACUUUUUACAACAACAUUUUAUUAUAAUAGUUAAAUUUAUUGUAGAAUCGAUUUUUAUGUUUUAAUGUUACUUUUUAGAACAACUUUUCAUUUAUAAUAGUAACAGCUUUAAGGUAUUAUUUUCUGAAUUGGCUCUCUGUAAUAAUAUCUUGUUUUAAGUUUUAGUAAAUUUAAAUUUAUUCUUAAAUGAAAUAAAAAUAAUAAAAUCAAGUCAAGAUAUUAUUUCAAUAAAAUACUUAAACUUUAUAUAAAAUAUAUAUUAAUAAUAUUUUGUUAAAUGAAAGUAAUCUUUAAUAAAUGGAUUUUUAUUUGUAAAUUUUAUUAAAGAUAUAAUCUAAAUCUUACUAAUAAAUAUCAUUGUUAAUAUAUUAUAUUUUUAAUUUGAAUUUUUAUAAAAAAAAAUAUGACCUAAAUAUAAAAUAUUGUUGUAGAUUAUAUAAUAGUAUCUUUCUAUAACAUCCAAAAUUUUGAUAGAAAAAUAAAAUUAUUAUAGAGAGAUGAUUGUAAUGUCCAAUUUGUAAAAAUUUAAAAAGUUUAAUUACUUAUCACGUAUCAGCCCAUAAAAUUCGUUUAACCCUCAAAUCAUUCAAAAAUAAAAAUUUAAAAGCAAUCAUUAAAUAAAACUUUGAGAAAAUUGUUGCAUAAAAGUAACAUAAAAGGAAUAUAUGAAAUGAUUUAGUCGGCCACCCGUUUAGAUUCGAAGGCUCACUCGAAAAGUAGGAGGGUUUGGAAAAAUAUAAGUCCAAAAAUAGACUCAAAUAAAAAAUAAGGCCCAUUUUCUAAACAGGCCCGGCCUCGAAUAAGAAUUUUUUUUAUCCAAGCUUAGCCCGACCUAAAUUUGAAUAAAAAAUUUCCUAUUGUUGUUUGGCUACAAUUUUACUAUUAUAUUGCUACUAUUUUGUUGUAUUGUUGGAAAACAUUUAUUUUAAUAUUUUUAGUAUAUUUGAUGUAUUAUAUUUUUUAAAUUUAUUUUUAUAUAAAAAACGAUAUAAUUUUUUUAAUACGGAUAGACUAGAUCGGGUUGAGCUCGAAUUUAGUAUUUUUAUCUAGAUUGAACUUGAACAAAAUUUAAGCCCAUUUUUUCAGCUGGGCCUUAGACCUAUAAAACAGACCUAUAAUUUUAUAUUGGUUCGACUCAUAAUCAGGUCUAAUAAAACUCCAAUUAACAAGAAGCUCUUGCACCAUGAAUCAGUCCUCAAAUCCAUCCCUCCAAGGAGUUGUUGAUUGUUGCUGAUAAUUUUGAAAAAAAGAAAUCAUCACAUACCUUAGACUCCAAAGAGCUGAAAAUAAAUUAUUGAAUCGUCCCCUUCUUCUUAAGACGCUACUAGUUUCCCUAGUUUUCAUGCUUUCUCUACUCUAAUAAUUAUUUUCUUUAGAUUUUUAAUAUCUAAAUAAAAAAUUGCAAUAUUUUUGUAAUAUCCCUAAAAUCAUCGUGCUAUAUUUGUAAAGUAUAUACUGAGAAUAUGUAUAGUGGAUUCCUCAGGUGAAUGAAAACAGAUAUAUUAGUGAUACUAGAGAAGGAUAAUGGAUACUGGAAAAAGUUGAAACAAGUUUUAUAUUGUGAGAUAUUCAUCUUGGGUGUAAACUAAAUUGUAAAAAUAUGAAAAAUAUUAGGUUAAAUUGUAAAUAUUCAAAAGUUAUCCUAGAAAACUGAAGGAGAAAUGCUCAAAAUUUAUGGUGUAAAAUUAAGAGUUAAAGAGGUACAAAAGUGAGAAGAGAAGGGUUGAAGAAACCUGUUCCAAGUGUCCUUGAGGAAAGUAAAACACACGUUCUCCUUCUCUAGGAAUUGUGACCAAAGGACCAGCACAUGCAGAGCCCUAUAAAUGUCUCUUUCUAUCCAUAACCCAAAAUCAAACCUUCAUUAAAACCAGACUCGUUUUCUUAAUAAAAACAACGAAUUAAUUACAAGUUUACCCAUGGCGAAACUCGGAUUUUGGAACUCCAUGGGAAAGCUUGUUUCAAGUGGUGAUGUUGUGUAGGAAAAAGAGCUUUAAGAGAUAAAUUAGUUUGACUUUGGUAAUCGUGAGUGGAAGACUUUGAAAAGCAGGUAUACUAAUGGGAAAGCCAUGAUUUAGUUUGAAAUUAUUUUAAUUCACAUAAUUAAAAAUUAUUAAUAAUAUUAUAAAAGUAAAAGGACCAAAUUACGUAAAAAUUAAAAUAUAGAGGUAUCAUCUUAAAUUUAGACAUAAUAAAAAGACUGACACCAAAUAAUUAUGAUUUUUAAAUAUUAAUUAAAUAUAAAUUAUUAAAAAAAUUUAAAAACCCGUAGCGGGUCACAAUUCUAGUUUAUGUAUAAAUUUGAAUAGUGUAAGGUCGUAGUUCAUAAUUUUAAUCAACUAUUAAAAUAUUUAUUUAUUUUUAAGGAUUUCUAUAAGAUAUUAUUGUUUGUACAUAGAUAAUAUACCAAAAUAUAAAUCCUUCGUCAUUUUAUACACAUUUCAACAUGUUUUAUAAGCUAUUUUAUUUUAAUUCUUAAUGUUUUAUAAAUUAUUCAAAAGUUUUUAUUUAAGUUGUUAAUUUUUUUUAAAAAAGUCCCACCAACAAGUUCCAGGCAAUGAUUGAUACAGUGGAUUAGUACCAAUCGACGAGUAAAAAAAAAAACUUUACAUCCAAUCGAUUUGGCGGUCAUUGUUGAAAAUUGGAGAUAAAAGUUGUUUGAAUUUUAGUUUGCAGAUUCGUGGCGUCUAAAGCUAUUUAAUAAAAAAAAUUAAAUUGUAGAAAAGAAAGAAAAAAAAAAAGAGUUUCCAAUUUGUGCAAACAGAGAAAGUCAUAUAACAUUGAUUUUAAUAGCUUAGUGACUUAAAUAAAAACUUUUGAAUAGUUUAAUGACCAAAUUAUAUCUUAUUUUUAGUUAAGUGACUAAUGGUGGAAUUUAGUGUUCUAAUUUUAUAUUUUUAUUAAAGGAUAAAUAACAAAAUUAUACAUGAACUUUGAUGAAAUUUGUAAUGUUAUACAUCAACUUUAAUUUAGCGCGUUUGUAGACUUGAAACUAUAAUUUUGGUUUAAUUUUUAUAUUUCAUUAACUCUAUUAUCCAUGUGGUGCCAUUUUCCAUUAGAUCGUGUAUAAAUUACAGAUAUGACAUUUUAGUAAGUUAAAAAUAAAUAAACAAAUUUAAAUUAUUUUCACUUAGAUUAAAAAAAAUAGAUUUCCGGAAAACAAUAAAAACUUUUUUUCCAAGUGUAUUUAUUUUUUAAUUUAGAUAAAAAUAAUUUAUUUUUAAUUUUAAAAUUUUAAAAAGCAUUCUAAAAGUUCUCUUCCAAAUCUCUCCAAUUCUAAUACAAACAAACAUUACGGUAAGGAGCUAAAUGACCAUUUUCUCUCUAUUUAAAAUUAGCUUCACAAAGGCUGGAAAUAGAAAUUCCACCAAGUUGCCCCUUAGUAACCGUCAACUCUUCCAACUUGCAGAUCGACCUCAUGACCUUCCUUAUUGCAACGUCGUGACGUUGAUGGAGGACUUCUCACUUGUUGGUGUCAGGGCAUCGACACCCCAAUCUCAAGAUCGGCAUGUCGCAACUUAUUAAGUCGACAUCGCAAAUUUAACACUCUUUAUAUCACGACGUCAAUCACUUUCUACAUCAAUUAUAUUUUAGAAUCAAUCAACGUCACACCUUUAAAAUUCAUAACCUCUUAUCUAAUCAUCCUUAGCAUCCCAAAGAAAAUAUCUCAUGUUGCGACCACGAUCAUUACCACGUUGCGACAUUUCCUUGUUUCAACCAAUCUUCCAUGUCUUGUAUGUCUUGGUCCUUCUAGCACUCCUACAUAGUCACUAUAUGAGUAUCAUUUACUACAUAAAACUAAGGUAACAUCAGAAACACUAAAAUAGACAUAAAAACAGGACUAACACUAAAUGCAACACGUUGAAUUGCUAAUCAAUUAAAAUACUUAAUUUUACCUAUGCUUAAUAUAUAGGUUGGUCUCAAAAUUUGGCAACUAUUCUCAAAUUGACCUUUAAAUAUUUUUAGAUCAGAUUGGUUCUUAAGGUUGGCAUCUGUUACAUAAAUUGAUUUUUAUGGUUAACACCGUUAGUUUUUUAACAGUUGGGUGAUAUGGCCAAACACAUAGGUGACAUGAGGACAAAUAGAGGAGUGAAAUGUGCCUUCCUCUUUAAUUAUUCUAAAAUUUUAAAUUAAAAAAUAUAUAAAUUCAAAAAAUGUAAAUAAUUUUUUAGAAAAUAUAAGAAAUAUAUGAAAUUUAUAAAAAUUCAAAAAAUAUAAAAUAGUUAAAUUUUUCUAAAAUUUUAACAUUACUUUUUUGAAUUUUUCAAAAUAUUUUGAGAACAUUUUUUUAGUUUCUUUUUGAAAUUUUAACUAAUUUUUUAUUUUUAUGUUUUGAACUAUACGUAUUAUUUUUUGAAUUUUUAUAAUUUAUUAUCAUUUCGUAUACUUCUCUAAAAAAUUUACUUUUUUUAAUUUAUACACUUUUUGGAUUUUUAAGAUUUUUUUUAUUACAAUUUUUAGAAUAACUAAAUAGGAAGACAUGGGUUUUUAUUAAAGCAAUUUUGCAAGCUAUUCCAACCUAUUCGAUGGCCUGUUCUUUAUUACCUAAGUCACUAUGUGAGGAGCUUGAAAGUAUUUUAGCAAAGUAUUGGUGGCAGCAAGGUUGGGGGAAGAGGGGAACUCAUUGGUGCACUUGGCAAAACCUUUGUUUUUUAAAAAAAAAUGGUGGCUUAGGUUGUCGUAAUUUAGGUCAAUUUAAUAUUGCGUUGCUAAACAAGGUUGGCGUUUGAUUAGUUAUCCUUGUUCAUUAUUAGCCAGGGUUUUGAAAGUGAAAUACUAUCCGAGAUCGAAUUUCUUAGAGGCUCAGUUAGGAACUUUACCUUCACUUACCUGGAAGAGCAUUUGGGCAGCCAAGGGUCUCUUUAAAAAAGGAUUAUGCUGGAGAAUUGGGCAAGGAAAUAAGGUAUCCAUUUGGGAUGAUUGCUGGAUUCAGGGGAUUGAUUCAUUGGAAAGGCCAAACAAUUCAGAAAAUAUGCAGAUAGAGUUAGUUUCGGAUCUUAUUGAUAAUACUAAUAGGAAAUGAAGGGCAGAGUUAAUUAGCAAUACCUUUCAGCCAUAGGUGACUCGAUCAGUCUUAGAGAUCCCAUUAUCAGAAUCUACCCACGUAGAUUUUCAAGUCUGGAGGGGUGAACCGACUGGUACAUACUCAGUUUGCAGUGCUUACAAACUAUUACAAAUUGCUAAUCUGGAUCCUAGUGAUUAUUUAUUACAGAUCGAAUAUAAGGACUUUUUUAGAAAAUUAUGGAAUUUGCAACUACCACCUAAAGUUACAAUUACAAUUUGGCACAUAUCCUGGAAUUAUAUUCCCACUUUGGGAAAUCUCAGACAUAGAAGAAUAGUGUCCAAGGCCAGAUGCCCUCGUUGUGGCUAUGAAGUGGAGGACUGUCAUCACAUCUUCAGGCAAUGCCCUAAAAGCAUCGAAGUUUGGCAGUUAGUAAAUUUAUCAUGGGUCACAUAUAUUUUUUAACUUAAUUUCUAGGAAUGGCUUACCGAGGUUUUCAAACAAGGGUAGAAGGAACAAUGCAGAUACUUUUGUUUUGCCUUAUGGAUGCUCUGGUUUUCAAGGAAUCGACUGUUGCAUGAGAAGAUAAACGUAAUAGGUGAAAGCAUCACGCAACAGAUUCAGAAUCAUAUGACAGAGUUUGAGGGGGUUAGAGCAAAAAAGAUUUUAACAAACACGGUCAAUAAACAAAGUGUGAGGGAAGACGUACUGAUGGUGAAGAUUCAAUUUGAUGCGGCAUUUGACUACAAAGAGCACAGAUCGGUAUCAGGGCUGGUGAUUUGGGGCACGAGGAACGAGUUUCUGGUUUCGAAGUCAAUCAUUCAUGCCAAUAUUGCAUCUCCGUUCACAGCAGAGGCACAUGCAGGAUUGGAUGCAGUAAAGUUAGGAAUCGAAAUGGGUUUUCAGGAAGUUUAGAUAUUGGGUGACUCAAGAACAGUAAUUCAAAAAUGUCAGUCAACAAAAAGGGAUUACUCAGUUACCGGAGUGAUUAUUAGAGACAUCCACAACAAUAAAUUAUACUUUCAAAAGAUCGAGUUCAAAUACAUUCAGAUAACAGAGAAUAGGAGAGCUCAUAAUAUCACAAGUGAAUCAUUGAAGAAAUGAGAGAAUACAUACCUGGAGAGCGAAGAACUGAUUCAGCGCACUGGCAGUGAAGUAGAACAACGGGCAAGGAAUCCAGACUAAUGGAUUAGGAGAAAUUUGUUUUCAAAAUAGGAUAGCAAAGAAAGUAUCCUUGGGCAGAACUAUUGACAGACAGAUAGAAUGGAAGAGAAUGACGAUAAGACAAGUCAUGCAAGACUAAUGGUUUCCAGCCGUUGAAGUGUGAAUACUUGGUAGAUUAGAUUUAAUUUUCCUAGGCUAUUAAUUGCUUUGCCGGUUUCCAUUUAUUUUUUUGAUUUAUUUUUUUUUUCAAUUUGAUUUACUGGCUUCCAAUACAGAUGGUAGAAGGCUGGGGCGGUCAUUGGGCUUGCCUUAGUAGGCCAGAACAAUUAUUUUUUGGUUGUUUUAUUUUAAUAAUGAAUACCCAGUAGAUCCUUAUUCAAAAAAGAAAAAAAGAAAAAAGGAAGACAUGUACCGUUUCCUUGUUUGCUUGCAUGUCACAUCUUAAUUUGACCACAUCACCCAAAUGUUAAAAAACUAAUAGUGUUAACCAUAAGAAUCAAUUUGUGUAACAGAUGUCAACCUUAGAGACCAAUGUGAUCCAAAAAAACGUUUAGAGGUAAAUUUGAGAAAAGUUACCAACUUUAGGUGUCAAUCUAUAUAAUAAGCCUUUUACUUAAAAACAAGCUACAAUAAGCAUGAAAAGACCCUAAUUAUUUAUGCCAAAUUAUAACACAUCAUUCAGGAUCAUCUAUCAUAGUUUAAAAUUAAGUGCGUUUCUUGCAAUUUUCUUUUGUAGCUUUUUAGAGUUUAACUUGUAUCUCAUGUUAUCUAGGCUCAUCUCGUAGGUGGAAGGACACAAAAACAAAGAAGUGAGCUGAAACAACAAUGAGGGCCACAAUGUGUAACCAUAGAAGGUUGCAACCCUACACCUUAAACUGUUAUUGCAUUGAUUGUGAUAAUACUCUAGAAUGACAUAUUUUUAUGUAUUAAUUAUAUGUUUAUUUUGAGUAUGAUCCUAUUAAUUUGAGCUAUUUACGAUUUUUUAUCUUAUAGGGACCAAAUUGAAGGCAAAAGGAAAUUUGGGGACUAAAAGCGUGAAUUUAAAGAUAAAAUGGGCUAGCAUGCAAGAGGUGGUGCCAGAAACACAAAUUGUGGAAGAUUUGGAGCAAUAGUGCAAAGAAGAGAUUUUAUAGCAUAAGACUCUAUUUAAAUUCUAAUUAUAUUAGGAUAAUUAUUAAGGAUUAUUAUUUAGAUUUAAUUUUAGUUUUUAUCUUUGUUUAUCUUUAAUUAUCUUUAUUUAUUUGUAUUUAUCUUUUAGAAUUUAAGUAGGAAUAGACUAGGUUUCCUAGUACUAUAAAUAGGGGAUGGAGUGACACAAAUUUCAUCAUCGUUUCUAUAAACACUCUCUCUCCCAAAAACCUUAGCCUUUUUUCCCUUCAUAUUAUUCAAUAAAAAUUCUAUUUCCAUUACAUUUAUUUCUUUUUCCCUAAAAAUCAUGAGCCACUAAAUUUAUCUAGCCAAAAGUUGUCGAAAUUCUCCAAAAGGGUUCAUGAGGCUUAGAAUCUACACUUAGCAUUCUCAACGAGUAUUCAUCGUUUCUUCGCAUUACGGGGCUGACGCUUCCAUUCUUGUCCCUUAAAAGGUGAUCUUUUCAACUUGUGCAAGGAACGACCGCUUUGUAUGUUUUAGGAAGAUUGCACAGUCGGUUCGUUAGCUUACUACGUCAAAGUUUGGCGAACCCAAGAGACAAAAUAGCUUGGCAUUCGCCAUUGAGAAGUGAUGAUCUGACAUAAAAUGGUCCCACAAAAGCGAUUGUUGGUUAGAGUCAGGUUCCUCUAAAUCAUAAGUUUAAAAUCUUGGAGCUGGUGGUCGUAAGCGUCCUCUUCCACUAUAAAUAGCUUAUUUUGUUUGAGAAGGAUCACCUAAAAGACGAGGAUUGAACCCAAGGCGGAUCAAGACAACCGGAGGCUGAAAUCUCUCCAUAAGAACUCUUUUUCCUCAACUUUAUUUAUCUCUACUAUUUUUAUUUUAAUUUUCGUAAUUUCAAUUCAAUCAAAAUUUUUAAUUCUAUUUUUUUAUUUUUUCUAGGUACGCAGGUUUUCUUAGGCACGAUUCUGUCCGAGAUUUCGAGGAACAAUCACUUGUGAAAAUCUAGUCUUUGAGGAUUUGACCCUACUUCCCUUAAACUAUUCUUUGCCAUUAUUUUAUAGGGAUAGGAUAUUUUUUGUGCUCUCAACGACCGCAUCAGAUUGGAGUCGACUCACGUGACUAAAUCUUGACUUGGAAGAAAUUGUUCAUAGACUUGCCUCUAUAUUGUGACACAAGUUUUAGCUAUAUUGCAACAUUCAAGACUAAUUGAGAGGAAGCCCUGUAACAGCCUAUUUUCAGUUAUGCCAAAAAUAGUGGCUUCAAAACUUCGUUUAUUUAUGAUUGAAUUAGUAAAUCUUAAAAUUUGAUAUCUAUUGGUCUAUUAUAUUGAUUAUAUGAAAUUUUGAUUUAGUAAUUUGGUUGAGUAUGUAGUUGAGUUUAGUACCCGAGCUAAAUUGUAAAGAAGGUAAAAGUUAUUUAUCCUUGACCUUUAGGAGCUAAAAAGGUAAUUUUAUAUGGCAUGUAGGUACCCAAAUUUACCCGAGCCCAUUAAUGCCCAACUAACCCAUUACAGCCCAAUAACCAAAACCCAAAACAAACCCAAAAUUAAAAAAAAACCCUAGCAGCUCAAUACCCAAACCAUAGUCAAACAAAAAAUACCAAACCCUAACCCCACUUGCACUGCCUACAGCCAUUGCUGCCAUGCCAGCCCUCUGCCACCAUCUGCUCCACGCCCCAACUGCUCCUGCAAGAGAAACACUCAAACAACAGUAGAAAAAUAAUAAGAAAUAUAUGUAAAUGGCUAUAUAAAAGCCUAGAAAUCAGAUUGUAAAAGGGGGGCUUCUUGUUUUUUUUUCGGCAAUCUUGAUCAAUACAAUAGCACUCGAUUUUAAAGCAAAACAGUGAUUCAAACGCAUCAAACAAAGAAUAACAAAAAAAAACCAAGCAAAAUCGGAAGAAAGAGGUGAUCCCGUCAUUUUUUUAUUUACUGUUAUUUUUUUCUUAUUUCUUUUCUCCCUCUAUUUAUACAUAAAUAUACAUAAAAAGAAGAAAAAAGAACACUCACCUUUAAAAGUAUAAAAAAAGGUGUUCUGGAACUUCAACCACCGCGCACGGCGAUCGCCGGAGGCGGCGUGUGGCGGUGACCAGCCGAACUUCCACCGGGUUCAAAGGGCCUGCAGAGAAAACUAAGAAAGAAAGAUUUUAAAAAAAAAAACUGAUAUCAAAUGACUUUUUUUUUAAUUAUUUUUAGUUUAUAUAGGCCAUAUAAAACGACGUCGUUUUGGCCGACGUCCAUAAGCCCCAAAACGACGUCGUUUCACCUAGGACCCGUGCCUUGACCUGACCCUCUCCAGGGAUCCGCGUGUUUUUGAUUUCUGGGUUAUUUACGCGCGCAGUCCUUUUGUUUUUUUUAAGACUUUGCAAUUAAGUUUUUAUUCCUUUUAAUUUCACCCCGAAUUUGUGCUUGGAUUUCAAUCGGGUCCUACUCGAUGUUGCGCGUUUUAGAGGGAGGGUUUAUUGCCCGAUUUGGCCCCUCUUUGUUGUUUGCGUGUUCGAUUUGGUCAUUUUCUUCUUUACUUAUUUUUAAAUUGGCCAAGAACUUUCAUUUUAGGUUUAAUUUAGUCCUUUUUUUGUUAUUUUCGAUAUUUUAAUUAAAUUAAUUAAAUUAAUAUAUUAUUAUUACUUAUUAUUUUACUACUAUUAUUAUUGUCAUGAUUAUCACUAUUAUUAUUACUUUACUAUUAUAAUUUAAUGUAUUGUCGUUAUUAUUAUUAUUAUUACUAUUUUCAUUAUUAUUAUUAUCUUCAUACUAAACUAAUUAAGUUCAUAUUGUUAUUAUUAUAUUAUAUAUUCUCUUUUUGUGUUUAUUUAUUUAUUGUUUUAUUAUUAAUUAAUUUAGUAUUAUUAUUUAUUAUUUAUUAUUGUCCUUAUUAACAUGUCAUCAUUUUAUUAAUAUAUGAUUAUUACUAUUGUUAAUAUAUUAUUAUUUUCUACUUUGACUUGUUGUGUCAUUAUUAUUGUUAUUGUUACUGUUAUUAUUCAUGUAUAUAUUAUGAUUAUUGUUAUUAUUAACACUCAUAUCGUUAUAUUAUUUUUAUUCCUUUUAUUAUUUAUUGUCAAUAUAUUAUUAUUAUUAUUAUUAUUAUUAUUAUUAUUAUUAUCGUCACUAUCAUAUCUUUUAUUUAACAUAUUAUUAUUACUAACUUUUAUUAUCAUUAUUACUAUCGUAUUAUUAUUACUAUUAUAUUUUCAUCCAUGUAAAUUUUCUUGUUACUUACCUAUUUAUAUUUUUAUCUAUUUAUGUUUUUGUUGUUAUUAUAUUUUAAGCAUUAUAUCUAUAUUAUCAUUUCACUAUUGUUAUUUUUUUCAUAUUAUUAUUAUCACUACUAUUACUAUCAUUUUCUAAAAAGUUUUACAUAAUAUUUAUUUAUUUACUACUAGUUCUUUUUAAUUUCAAAUAUUUUUUUAGCUUAUUCAUUUUACCCAUUUGUUUUAUCUUUUCUCUUAUCAUUAUUAUCGUUUACAUUCGUGUUUACGCUUAUUCUGUUAUACCUGUCAAUACUGAAAUUUUUAUUUUGUUUAUGCAUUCUCUAUUAUCUCGUUUUAUUACGAAUUUAUAUUUUAUCCAACCCAAAAUUAAUUCUUCUAUAAAGGCAAUGAUCCGUAUUUGGAAUUUCGAGAAAAUCGUGCCCUAACGUAUUUGGAAUUUCGAGAAAAUCGUGCCCUAACUUACUGGGUUUCGAUUUUUAUUAUUUAAUCCAAAUAAUGGAAUAUUCUUUUAAAAUUGCAACAUGAAUUUUGAAUAAAAUGCUUAUUCUCGGAAAUACGAGGUGUUGUGUCCUAACUUACUGGAUAAGACAUCUUGUUACCUCGAGAUAAGAUUUCACAAAUAAAGGCAAUAUUCGACAUUUGAAAGUUCGAGAUAUCGUGCCCUAACUGACUGGGUUUCGAGUUUUCUCGUUUACUCUAAAUAAUCGAAUACCCUUUUAAAAAAGUUCAAAUACACAAAUUUUAAGUAAAAGGCAAGCUCAUUCUCAAAAGUUCGAGAUGUCGUGUCCUAACUUACUGGAUGUGACAUUUUAUUACUUUGAGACGAAAGGGUCUUUAACAUUCGAGUAUUUUUUUACAAAAGAGGGAUCAUAUUUUAAAAGUCUUUCAAGUUUUCAAUUUUCGACACUAAGACACUAGUUAAUCAACUAGGUACCAAUUUUGGGUGUUACGAGGGUGCUAAUCCUUCCUCGUGCGUAAUCGGCUCCUGAACCCGUUUUUCUGAAUUUCGUGGACCAAAAUUGUUGUUUAAAUAAAUCGAACCAUUUAUUAAAAACAACCACUUUUACGAGGUGACUCGACACACCUCAUCAAAAAGGAUUGGUGGCAACUCCCGUCUUUUCGUUUUCUUUUCAAAACCCAAGUCGAUCCCAUUUUUCAAAAAAAAUGGUUUCGACAUGGCAAUUUGUCCACUUUAGACAUAAAUGGACGAUUCAUGCAUAAGUUUAGAAGAAACACAUGUAAGUUUAGAUAAACACAUGUUAAAAUGUUAAUGAUGUAAUAUUUUGAGAAUUGUGUUAGUGGGUAUUUAAGUAGAAAGAAAGAGAAUAAUUUUCAAUCUCAUCUUCUACAGCAAAAUCUCACCGUAAUUGGAAGAAAUAAAUGCUUUAAGAUUUCCUCAUCUUUCAACUUUGUAUAGUAAACUAAUUCAAACCUGUUUUGCAUGGAUCUUGUGUUUUUGAUUUGGUUACAUUUCAAUUUAGCUAACCGUGGUGCUUAUUUAUAAAACGGUUAAAGAUUUCAUAAAUUACCAUUAUUGAAUGCUUGAAGUAUUGAAGAGUGUUUGGAUGAGAAGUUAAGAUAUGUAAAAGCUUUACGUAGUAAAGUAUAAAUGUCCAAAACUAGUUUGAAUGUAUUGUAAGCUGAUGUAUAUUAUUUAGAAAUUUAAGAGAAAGGAUCAAACUAACUCGUAGAUAUAUACAGUGAGUUGAUGAAUGGUAUCGAGUUAAUAAUAAUUGAAUUAAAUUAUGUAUUAGAUCAAUAUUUGAAUCCGUCACGAGAAGACCAUGAAAGAGGGAAGGUUGUUGAGUAGACUUUGUUGCUAUGUGUUACCAUUCUACCAGGUAAGUUCAUACUAUAGAAACGUUAUUUAACCUUCUUUCCUUUUUGUUCUUAAAUUGUAUAAAUAAAAUGUGCUAAGUAGAAGUAGUUGCUAAAUAUAAAUAGAAGUGAGAAUAUUGAAACAUGUUAUAAAAGAAUGCAAAUGGAAUUACAAAAUAACAGUGUCCCGAUGAACUUAGUAAAAGAUUCAUACAGACAAUUACAAGUUAUUUCUUGAUUAUUUUGAGAUCCAAAAUUUGGCGUGGACUCAAAGAUACAUGUGGCACAGAUUUAGCCUGAACCAGUAAUUUAUUGUCAUUUUAAAAGUUUAGCUUUGAUUUGUAACCUUAUAUGUAUAUAGCCUUGGUUAGACUUUUAUUACAUCAAUAAAGUUUUAGCCCAGACGGGUAACCUGGCACCUUGAUAUGUGAUUAGCUCAAAUGAGCCUCUGACGUAAAGCGUACUUGUGUUUGAAAUUCUUUUACAACAUUCAUCUGGUAAUGUAAAACAUAAGAAAAGAAAAAAUUUGCAAGUUAAGAAAUGAGGGGAAGUGAAAGAAUUAAUUAUUAUAAUUGAAGCCCGUAAUAAUGAAUGAUUUGAGAUGGAGCUGACAGGAGUGCCAUUGUAUCAUGUUGCUAUUCGAUGUAUUAUAUAUAAGGGAAUGUAGACACAUACCUUGUUGGCGUACUGCAUUGGUGGAUAGGUAAACUGUAAUUACGUAUUAAGUUAUCAUAUGAUUAUUUUGCGAGGUAAGUAAACUAUUGAAUUUGUGUGAGCUUACUAAGUAUUUAAAUGCUUACAUUUAUACUAUUUUUACCUUAUAGAUUUUGGAACAUCUAGAAUGCGUAGAUCAAACCAACAACUCACAUUAUCCACCAGACGUUGUGGUAGACUCCCGGUUUAUUUGAGUCAAUCUAAGUGGCAUGUAUAUAGUCAUUAGUUUAUUUGUAAGUAAACUUGUUACCUUAAAGGAGGUUAUUUUGAGUUUCAUGGUAUAUGAUAAUAAAUAUGAAGUUUAGUUAUAUUAUGUUUUUGUGUUUUAAGAUCCGCGGAAUCUUUUACAAUAUAGGGUAUUCGUGGAAUAAUCCGCCAUUCUUUUGGGUAUUCUUGGAAAUUGUUUUAAAUUUUAUAUCCACCUUACUCUUGAAAUAGUAACUGUGGAAUAAUCCAUAGUUUAGUCUUUUGAAAUUCUGUGCGUAGUCGAAUGAUCUGCCGGAUUGAUUUGCCACCUAUUGGUCUACGGUACAAUUCGCCACGAAUGUGUAAUGUAUGUAAAUAUUUUGUGAGUCCGUGUAAUAACCUCCUAUGGCUCGGGUUCAAUGAUCGGACCAGGCAAAACGUGUUUCAAGCCCAAUAGUCCAAACUAAGUUGUAGUGUUACAUCAUUGCAGAGUCUCAAUGUGCAUGUUUGUUUGACAAUAAAAGACAAUUCAUCACUUGAGAGUCAUGACACUUCUUGUGUAACGUCGUGACGUCGAAUGAGAUCUAGGAUGGUUUACAAAAAGGUGGCCUAACGCGAUGCUUAAGCUGCAAAGUUGCAACCCUCUCUUGAAAUCUAUUAUUAUAUUAAGGGUAAAAUUGUAAUUUGACUCACCAAAUAUCUUAGUAUAAAAGGGCCAUUUUUCAGCUAUGGAUUGGAAAGGGGCCGUAGAUAGUUUUUACUUUUACUCUUGUUUUAGCUUAGGUUUUAUUUUGUUUAAGAGCACUUUUCCAUUUCCAUACUUUGUAAUACUUUCUCCUUAGUUUAAUUUUAAGCACUUUCCCUUUUCAUUUUGGUCUUAGCUAGCUGGGAUUUUACAUUUGGAUAUCUCAAUAUUUGCAAUUUAUUGGUAUUCCUUGUUUGGAAUCCAUAGAUAGCUAAAUGUUUAUGUGACUAAUGGCAUUAUGAAGCAUGUUCGGUUGAUAAUGAAUGUCAAGUGUUUGUUAACUUUUAUACACAUAACUUACUUAUGAGUGAGGCCCUAGGUAGGAACUUAUUUAUGAAACAUUAACCCUUACUAGAAUCAUUCAAUAAGAGAAGAAUGAAUAUAACACUUUUAAUCUCACAGUUCUAAUUUAAUCGAGUUUUAAUAUUAUUAAACAAAUUAGGAAAACAAUGCACAUGGUAGUCUCCCUUGUUCUUGCCAAACCUAUCAUUUAAAUAUUAAAAACAAAGUGAAAAUUCAAAAUUUUAACAAGAAUUAUGCCACUCAUCAACUAUUAAUUGGUCCAAUAUACCUCCUUGGGUAAAGAGGUGGAUGGAAUAAAACCACUAGUACCAAAUCAAGAAAAGAAAUUAUAGAUACCAUGUUGAGGGAUGAUACUAAACUGCAUCUUAACCAUUUUUUUAAAAUAAAGUAGAAUUUAUUCUUAAAUCAUUGAUUUGGACUAACAUUAAUUAUAUGAUAUAAAACCAUAUUUUCUUCUUUUAUUGCAUAAUAAAAAAAAUUUAGUCCUUCAUCUUUACCCCUUUUGUUACUUUUGUCUUUAACUUUUUUAUUAUUUUAGCUUUAACCAUUAAAUCUAGUCAAUUUUUUAUGACAAAAUUAACUAGACUAUUAAAUUUUUAAUAGUGCCGAUGUAGCGGCUUAGAUGGUACUUCAUGUGUAUUUCAUUGUUAACUAGAUAAAUUUUUUAAAAAUAAUUUUAUGAAAAAUUUUGAAUUUUUAAAAUAAUUCUAAUGGUUCAGUAAAAUUUUUCAUAAAAAGAAAUUUAAUUAAAAUUAAAAAAAUUAAUGAACAAAGUAAAAUAAAUAAAUAUUAAGAAUUAAAUUUGUAAUAGUCACAAACAAAUCCUCACAAAUUUCUAAUUUAACAACAAUAAAAGGAAAAAGAAGAGAAAGAAAGUAAAAGCUCAAUUAUCAGUUGGGACCCCUAAAAAGAUACCUAUUUAAUUGCUUUCUUCUGUUAAUCCACCACUUCCAUUAAUUAGCUAAUUAAUCUUAAUUAUAAAAUUCAAUCACAUGUUUCAUAACAUAAAAAUUGUCAUAUUAAAAGAUUACUCAUUGUUGUGGAUAAUAAAUACCUUGAUUUUAAUUUUUUAUAUUAAUAUUUAUAAUUAAAUUGAAAUAAAAAUAUUCUAAUAUUUAAACAAUAAGUAAAAAUUUGGUCUGCUCAAAUUACAAUACAACGUUUAAUUUAUGAACAAAAUUAAUAUACGGUGAAUUAAAUUUAUUUAAAAACAAAAGAAAUAAUUGUUUUGAUAUAAAAAAAAAAGUUAACCCAAUUUUCUUUUUAGCUUAAAUACCUCUCAAAUUCAAAAGUUUGAAAAAUCUGAAGCAAAAUAGUGCUCAUGGCAUAGAAUAUCUUAGCUAUGGUAUAUGGAUUGCCACCAAAUUCAAGAAGGUAUUUUAUUGGAUAUGAUAUCUAAGAGAGAAAUAGUUUACACAAACUGAUGAUUCACAUGCAAUAACAAAUUGAUUAUUAUCAUCAAUAUGACAUCAAUUUAUGAUAUAAUUAAGCUGCUUUGGUAGCUUUAAUCAUUGUUAUGUCUAGCUGUUUAGGGUUGACAAUAAUAAAGAAAUCAAUAUAAAUAAUCAGCUGUCACUUUUUAUUGUAGUUUAUUACUAGGAUCUUUUCAUCAACUCUUAGAGUAAUUGAAAAGGAAAUCCAAAAACCAAGAAUCAGCCGUUCAAUUGCCACUCUCUAUUUGCAUAUAUGAAGGAAGAAACUAGAAAUGGUAUAUAUAGUUUUAGAUGCUGUAGAGAUUAUCCAACUAUCUCUAGAGCCAUUAAAGAUGGUGUGCAGUUGGGAAUUACGUGAUAAUUACAGCAAGAGAGAUAGAGAGGGACUCCUGUCGCAGGAGAGAUGGCGCCUACUACCAUCAAUGAGCCAUUGUUGUUCCAUUAUUGAGUUGGUAAGCUUCAUCUCUCCUCGACUGAAGUCCUUUUCAAUUUCUUCCCAAGAUGACUUUACUAUGCUUAAAUUGCUUUGAAAUUUGUUCAUUAGAGGUAAGCACUUUCUUUCUAUUUUAUAUUAUUCAAAUUUCAAAUCAAUUUAGUUCAAUUUUAAUUGUUUUUAAUUAAAUUUUAAAUUCGAAUUUAGUUAUUUGAACUCAACUUUUAACUCUCGAGAUUUAGUUUAUAAUGAAUUUUAAUUAAAUUAUAUAUCAUAUUCAAAUUAAAAAAUCAGUUAAUUUCUCUUAGCACACCUAGAAGAUUAUAUUGUUAUAUAUCAUAUAAGUGUAUAUUAGUAUUAUCAAAAUGAAUUUAAUACUUAGGCUAUCAUUCUUAAAAUGUUACCUUUAAUAAUUACGUCUGAAUGUUGGCAUUUGUCUUUCUUUAUCCUUACACUUUCAUUGUUGAAACUAUUUUUUUUAAACGGGAAUCGACUUUGUUUGAAAAUGAAAAUUAAAAAAUGGGAGUCGCCACCGAACUUUAUUAGGUAUGAUCGGAUUACUUUUGCUUUAAUAAAACGUUUUAGUUUACUAAAACUGUGUUUUGGUCUACGAAACUCGAGAGAACGGGUUCGGGAUUCCGUUACGUGCAAGGAAGGAUUAGCACCCUCAUUACGCCCAAAAUUGGUACCGAAUUAAUUAGUCAAUGUCUUAAUGUUGAAAGUUGAAGAUCGGGAAUGGAUUUAAAAUACGAUCCUUUUUUAUUAACGUCGAUUUUAAAAAUGCUUGAGUUAGACCAAAACGAUUGCUAAAGAUUUCCUUGUCUCAAGAUAUCGGAGUGUCACAUCCCAUAAGUUAGGAUGCGAUACCAUGAACUCUCGAGCGCAAGUUUAUCUUUAAUUUUAAUUGAAUUUCAUGUGUUUUGAAACUUAAAAGGAUAUUUGGCCAUUUAGGUUUAACGAGAAAACCGAAACCCGGUAAGUUAGGGCACGAUUCCUCGAAUUUCGUAAAAUGCAAAAUAUUGCCUUAUUUAGAAAAUUUUCUUUUUGAAAUAUAGCGAAUAUGAUAUUUAACUACAUAAAUUUAUUUUGUUUGGAAUAAAAUCAAGCGACCCAAGUUGAAUAAAUACGUUGGCUUAAUGUACGAUAUGAUUUAAACUAGAUAAAACAAAAAUAUAACAUAAAGCAUGGAAUAAUACAACACGGAUACAAUAUUAUAAAAGCAAAUGACAAUAAUAUGAAAAUACGAAUGAACGAAUUAUAAUACAAUGGAAAAAAUCACACAACACAUAUUAUUUAGAAAUCCACAAUAAUAAUCAAAAGAAUGAAAUAAAUAACAUAAUGCCAUUUAAAAUAAAUAAUGAAACAAUUUUAAAUAAGUAAUUCAUAAAAAAAGAGCUUUAAAAUAGAUAUUAUAAAAAAAACAAUUUUAAGGGAAUAGUAUAAUACAAUCUAAAAUAAUUAAUGCACAAAAUAAUUCAAAAUAAAAUAAUGCAACUUAAAAUGAAUAACAUAUAACAAUUUAAAAGAAAACAUAGAAAGUCUAAAAUAAAUAAUAUGUGAAAAAUAAAUUUAAAGUAAAUAAUAUAUAUAAAAAAUAUAUAAAACAAUUUAAUGUAAGUAAUAUAUGAAAUGUUAAAAUAAAUAUUGAAAAAAGGUUUACAAUAAAUAAUAAAAGAAUUUAAAAUAUUUUAUAUAACUAAUAUAUAAAAAUUUAAAAUGGGUUAUAAUUUGAAAUGGUUUAAAAUACACAAUUUGCAAAAAAAAAAACUUAAAGUAAAUAAUAAUAGAACGAUUUAAAAUGGGUGAUAUAAAAAACUUAGAAUAAAUAAUAGUUACAAACAGUUUUAUUAAAAAGAAUAAAUAAAGAAAAAAAGAAAUGAACAAAAAUGAUUAGAGACAAGAUUGAAAUCGAACUCAAACUUAGGGUACAAAUUGAAAAUAAAAAAUUAAAAAAAAACUAAAGAGAAUUAAAAUGAGAUGCGCUGAAACAAGUGGGGGAUUAAACGGAGAAAUAGUCCAAUUUUAGGACAUGCGUUCCUUCCCCAGCUUGGAAUACUCGGGACUAAAUCGAAACAUGCGAGAGGUAUUUGGGCAAAAUUUAAAAGAAAAUAAAAUGUAAGUAAAAGGACUAAAUUACAGCGUCCUGCGAAGGUAGAGGGACCAAAGGGAUAAAUAUCCCAAAAGGGCAAAACCCGCGGAUCCCCUCUGGAGCGGAGCGGGUCGCGCGCGGGUAUGCUAAAAAUGACGUCGUUUCGGCAUUGGUGUCCCAGGUGCAAAACGGCACCGUUUUACCUUAUUAUUUAAGUUAAAAAAUUUUAUUUUUUCAUUUGCUUCUUUUUCUUUUAAAAAAAAUAAGAGAGAACACCCCUCUCUUCUCCCUAUUUUCUCGGUUAGGGUUUCAAAAACCCAUUUUGCACCGUCGCCAUGCCUACCGGUCGAGAGAAGAGAGUUUCUCUCCUCCCCUUUUGGGUUUGAUUUCGGUAACGGAGAGAGGGUCUCUGGCGACACGACCACGGGGGAUUUCGGGUAAGUCUUCCCCUCUUCCUUUUUUAUUUUAUUCUUUUAUUCAAAACCGAUUUGAAAUAGAAAUAAGAAAAUAGGAAAUCGAAAAGAAAAAAAGAAAGCGAAAUCAACCUCUUUUUAACUUCUGUUUUUGUUAUUUUAUUUCUUGAUGGUGUGUAAAAACUUACAAAGGGAUCGAAUGUGGCUUUUAUAGCCGAAUACACGCUCGUUUUUGUUUCUAUUCUUUGUCUGUUUCUUCAUUGUUUUUUCUUUUUUGUUUGCUAUCGUUUUUUGUCUUCUUGUUUGUUGUUUUCUUUUGCUUACGUGUUGGUCUCGUUUUGCAGGUGACGUGAACGGCCAGACGCAUGCGAGGAGGCGUGCAGCUGCCAAGGCUGAAGGGGGCAUGUGGCGGCUGAAGCUUGCAAGGGCUAGGGUUGCUGAAAUGUUUUGUGUAGUUGGGCUAGGGUUUCUAGACUUUUAGGCUUGUUGGGCUUGUUGGGUUUGGGUAGUUUAGGCCUAGGUUUAAUAUGUAAAUGGGUAUUUAUUGGACUGUAAAAAUAUUUGGAAUUUGGUUUAUUUAUUUGGUUUUUAUUUUAUAAUUUGGCCAGGCCAAAAUUGGCCCAUUACAGCUGCCCCUCUUUGCUCAUUGUCGUGUAAUGAGAAUGGAGCAAAACUUCAAAAGGGCCAAUUUUACCUAGUCUUGUCGAAACUUGAUUUCUUUGGUAUUUCUCUUUCUCAAAUAGUAUCAUACCAUUCCACUGCAACUUCAAGGGUAUAAGGAUUAGGGUUUCUCUCCACUCUACUGUAGCUUCAAAGAGACUAGACUUGUAGCUUCAACUUGCUCCACUGCACUUCAGAGAGACAAGAUUUGCGGCUUCAAUCUGCUCCACUACAACUUCAGGGAGAUAAGAUUCACCAUGAUAAUUUCGAUCCGUCCCACUGCAACUUCAGGGGUAUAAGACUUAUGGCUUUAAUCUGUCCACUAUUGCUUAGGGAGACAAGAUUUGCCAUGGUCAGCCUACUCCACUACUACUAAGGGAGAUAGGAUGGUGGCUUAAAUCUGUUCCACUACUGCUUAAGGGGACAAGAUUUGCCGUCUUGGAUCUGCUCCACUACUGCUUAGGGAGAUAGGAUGGUGGCUUAAAUCUGCUCCACUAUUGCUUAGGGAGACAAGAUUUGCCAUCUUCGAUCUGCUCUACUACUGCUUAGGGAGAUAAGAUCUACAAUCUUCAGCCUACUCCGCUACUGCUUAGGGAGAUAGGAUGGUGGCUUAAAUUUGCUCCACUACUGCUUAGGGAGACAAAAUUUGCCAUCUUCGAUCUGCUCCACUAUUUCUUAGGGAGAUAAGAUCUACAAUCUUCAGCCUACUCCACUACUGCUUAGGGAGAUAGGAUGGUGCCUUAAAUCUACUCCAUUACUGCUUAGGGAGACAAGAUUUGCCGUCUUUGAUCUGCUCCACUACUGCUUAGGGAGAUAAGAUCUACAAUCUUCAGCCUACUCCACUACUACUUAGGGAGAUAGGAUGGUGGCUUAAAUCUACUCCACUACUGCUUAGGGAGACACGAUUUGUCUUCUUCGAUCUACUCCACUACUGCUUAGGGAGAUAAGAUCUACAAUCUCCAACCUACUCCACUACCGCUUAGGGAGAUAGGAUGGUGGCUUAAAUCUACUCCACUACUGCUUAGGGAGACAAGAUUCGCCGUUUUCGAUCUGCUCUACUGCAACUUCAGGGGGACAAGAUCUACAAUCUUCAGCCUACUCCACUACUGCUUUAGGGAGAUAGGAUGGUGGCUUAAAUCUGCUCCACUACUGCUUAGGGAGACAAAAUUUGUCGUCUUCGAUCUGCUCCACUACUGCUUAGAAAGAUAAGAUCUACAAUCUUCAGCCUACUCCACUACUGUUUAGGGAGAUAGGAUGGUGGCUUAAAUCUGCUCCACUGCUGCUUAGGAAGACAAGAUUCGCCGUCUUUGAUCUGCUCCACUGUAACUUCAGGGAGACAAGAUCUACAAUCUUCAGCCUACUCCACUACUGCUUUAGGGAGAUAGGAUGGUGGCUUAAAUCUGCUCCACUACUGCUUAGGGAGACAAGAUUUGUCGUCUUCGAUCUGCUCCACUACUGCUUAGGAAGAUAAGAUCUGUGAAUUUACCGAUGUUACUACACCGUCCUCUAGGGACAUGGUCUAUAGAAUUGGAUUUAUGUACCUAUACUUAUGCCAAAUGAUUAGGAUGUUAUGAUCAAAAUGAAUCAAAUGCUCCUAACUAGAUGGGUUAUGAAUGAUCUAUGAAUGCAGAAAUGAGAAUGAUCCUUUUUUAAAUGCUUAAGGUAUCAUCGCUCGUUGUUCAUCAGGGCAUUAUCACUGACAUAUUAAGCUGCCAUCUUGUUCGGUUAAUAUUCUUGACAGAAAAGUCAAAGAAACAAUCACAUUCUACUCAACAAGCUUGCCUCGCUGUAAUUUCAAAGUCCCUUCCACUAUACCUUCUCAGACAUAAAGUUUGUACCUCCCACUGCAACUUCAGGGGAAUAAGGUUCACUAUCUAUCCUGCUGCAACUUAGAGGUAUAGGAUUUGUAUCAUCUUCAAUCAAUUUGAUCUGUUACAUCAUUCCCUGGGUGUAAUGACCAGAUGUAUACGCCUGAUAGUUGCAUGAACACAGAGUAUCGUUUUUCUUUUCCCGAGAAUGAUCCCCUUUUAUACUUGGGUUGGCAUUGCUCGUUAUUUUUUGAGGUCGCGUCACCGAAACAAUACCUUAAUUUUUUUGUGCAAUGAUAUCUUUAACAAAGAAUCUGGAGAGAUAGCCACAAUUUUAGACUCCUCUCUCUCAAAUAUUUCCAACCCUUAGGUUUGGUGAGUUCUAAAUAAUGGUCAUGUUUCAAGUUCCUAUACUAUUUAGAAGCUUCCAGAGUAAUAUGCAGAACUUCUUUUGUGAAAGUAUUAUUGGUCUAUCAAUCGUUAUUUCAAUGCAAAAUGCUUGAAAAAAAUCAUAACAAUAGACCAGAAGAAAAUUAAUCAGGAGCAUAGCUCGAAGCAAGUAAGUUAAUAUAGGAUAGCAAAUGCAAUUAAGAAGGAAAUUUAUUGGGACGUAUCUUGAAAAGAAUAAGGUAAUCAAAGAUAAAAAAUUCAAAAUGGGUAAAAUGGGAAACUAGGUGCCCCAGAUAUCGUAGCUUGAGCUUCUCUAUACCAACUUCUUGAGGAACAUUUUGAGCUCAAUCUGUGUUUAGGGGAUCCGAAGUACUUUGUCGAUGCCCCAAAAUGUAACAUACUUCUUCAUUGUUAAUUCAUGCAUAGCAAGACUACUGUAUGCCCUACUUUGAUCCAAAUUUGAGCCGCCUUUCCAGGUUUUCAACUCAAAUCCCCUUUGGUCUCAAAGUGCCCUUUGCGGGUUUUCGCCUCGGCCUCUCCUUUUUCUCUUUUUUUUGUGAAGUAUUUUUUUGAUUGAAUCCAAAGUCACAAGAUUAGGAAGGUUCUUGCCAUCACUUUGGUCAGUAUCAACGCUCUUCUAGAGGAGGCCUUCUUUACCAUAUAAGGUCCUUUCCAGUUUGGCGUACACUUUCUUUUAAAGUCCUUUUUGUAUAGGAAAGACCUUUUUCAAUACUAGUUUUCCCUUUUGAGAUGAACCUUUUUGUUAUUUACUCAUGGUAGAUAGCUUUCAACCUUAUUUCUUUGAUCAAAUUCAACUGAUCACAUCAAAAUUGGAUCCAUUUAGCUUCGUAUAACUUUGGCUCUGACAAGACUCAAAGAAAAGGAAUCUCGACUUUAAUGGGCAAAAUCGCUUCCAUUCCAUAAACUAAUGAGAAAUGUAUUGCCCCGAUGAAGAUCUUGACCGACAUUUAAUAAGUAUAAAAGGUAAAUGGUAACUUCUUUAGCCAAUCUUUACAAGUUUCGAUUAUCUUCCUUAAUUUUUUUCUGCCUUUGCUGCACUGUGAUAUGGUGUCUGAUAUUUGAAUAGACUGCAAACUUUUGACAUUGUGAGGUUGUGCAUUGUUAGACAUGAUCCUUUUUGGCAUUCUUUGCCGGUACUUGAUCUCUUUCCCUCUUUUUUUAUUUUUGUUUGUUUUUUUUUUUGAAUUUGAUAACUGUCGACCUUGUAACAUUGGCAUAUGAAGCUACCUUCACCCUCUUAGUGAAUUAAUCGACGACCACAAAGAUGAAUCGAUGUUGGCCAGAAGCUUUUGAUGAGAUCAGCUCUAUAACAUCCAUGCUUCACAUGGAAAAAUCUGUGAAGAAAUGGAGGAGGCACAAAAGUCUUGUCUUCCUCAAUCCGGCAUUUAUGGUAUAACUGAUGCAAUCCCCUUCCAUGGUGGACCAGCAGUACCUGAACCUCAUGAUUAGUCUGGCCAUCGAAAAACCAUUAUCAUGUACUUUUCGAACACCCGAUAGCAUCCUCACAUCUUAGUAGCUUAGGAAUAUCUUGAUGCGAUCAUGCGAAAACAUCUUUGAAUUGGGAAUAACUCAAUGAUGUCUCACGUUGUCUUUGUGGUGAGCUAGGCUUUGAUCUUCACUUCUUUCCUAGGCUUGUAAUGCCACUGACCCUUUUCAUAGUAGGAUCUGUUUGUCAUCUUGUUCUACCAUCCUUGACAAAUCAGGAGAUAGACUGCAAUCUCUAUCAUCUUCAAGGUCUUGAGAUCCCUCUAGACACAUAUCUUUCUUAAAAGGAGACUCGGAGUUAGUGAUAGCGUCACUCACGUCAUUGAUAUCUGGGGACCUAUUGCAGGUACGAAGGCAGAUUCCAAAGAAUAAAUGGUUCUAAGGAUGAUUAUUUGUAUGGUAUAAUCAGAAUGAAGAAUAAAAGAAUAUUUGAGAUAAAAUUCAAAGAACGAAAGAAUCUAAGAAUAAUUAUCUAAAUGAAAUGAAAAAAAUAAAGAAUAUUUGCUCAAAAUGAUAGCAAAGAUGUGUUUUAUUAAAAUGAAUAUUUUGGACAUAAGCCUAUUUCACAAAAGGCCUCUUAUUGUUUCUAGGCUUAGAGCAAUAGGCGUGUUCUGAACUUACUUUAAAUUAGCUCUAAAAAUACAAAGAUCUCUUCUACAGUUCCAUUACUCAAAACACCCUAAGUGUGUAAGGGUAGAAGCUUGGAAAAGUCUAUUCCCCGAUUCCUUCUUCGAAUAUGUCGUUAAUGUUCAGAUUCCCCAAUAUUAGGUUUUCCACUAGAGUCCUGAGCUCGACGCAUCCUUAGAUCUCAUGCCCCUAUCCAUCAUGGAACUCAUAAUGUUUACCCCUUUAACAGAAAGGUUGGGUAAUAGAUUUUCUGCACCAGAGGGAUCAUCGAAUUUUACGAUACCCAAAUUGAUGAGUCUUUCGAUCAUUUUUUUAAAAGCGACAUAGUUCUCGAUCGAAUGCACUGUGAUCCCCCCAUGGUAUUCGCAUUGGCUGCUUGUAUCGUACUAUUUAGGGUAUGGAGGCUAUAUUGGUUCUACGUAGAAAGGGGAUACAACAUGCACGUCAAACAAAAUUUGGUACAACUCCCCAUAUGUGAUUGGGAUGGGUGCGAACUGAGGUUUUUCUGAGUUCAGUCUUGGAUUGGGUUCUUGGCUUGGGGAAACCUGAUGGCUGGUAGUUAUUGUCAUUGGCUGGCUUACUGUAAUCAGCUCCAAAUGGCCCUUGCUAUACCUACUCUUAUUAUUCACUUCUUUUUUCUUCUUCUUCGGGGCCUUUAAAGUUCACUCUCCCCUUUCAUUUGUUUCUGCCAGAACAACAGGUUUGGCUCGAUCAUCCUCUAGGUUAAAACCUGAACCCAUCGUGAAGUUUAACAGUGUUGAGGUACCAAUCUGAUAUUGGGGUCUGAUAAUAAGGGGUACCCCUUGUGGAUACGCGUCUGGUCGAGUCAGGACGCUUAUUGGAGUAAAACCUGGGGAAUAGAUGAGGUCUUCAUUAUCAUCCCCACAGUUGACCACUGGGCUACUUAUUUUUUCAAUUUUUCCUGCCAGUAACUGGGUUAACUGGCCUAUCAUAUUUCUUUGGAAUUCUAGCAUUUUUUCUCUCUAACCUUUGGUCCAUGUCUUUUGUCGAUUUUGAAAUAAUUUUACCUAAUUAGGGUGGGUCCUUUUUGGAAAAUUUAAUGCAUAUGAUAAAAUGCAAUGCAAAUGCAAAGAUGCAUGCAAAAAGAAAGAGAGGCGUUGAUUCUGAAUUCAAUUCCAUUAGAACAACUUUUUUAGAAAGCAAAUUUCUUUACAUAAAACGGAUUACAUAUGCGGCUUUGUCAUCAUAUUUCAAGUGAAGACACUGAUCUUUUUCUUUAAAUCCGAGUGUUAUGGUCAAAUCUUGCAAAUUUUCCAAAAGAUGCCUUUAUUAUCUCCUUUUUGCUUGAUCUAGGCCACGACUCAUUGUUCACUUAUCCCGCGAUACACGUUAGCUCCUUUAAGAAAGUAAAGACGUGACGGCUCUUGAUCAAUCUUCGUCGGCUUGAAUCCUUGGGCAAUGAAGCAAAGUUUUGUAUCACUCCGCAGACUAUCAGCCUUCUUUCGUUGUGUCUGAUUGAGCCAUAUUUAGACGGCCGUAUCAUAUUCCAUUUUAUCAAGGAAUCCAUUCUCCAUGACAAGCUUUUCUAUUUAGCAAUCGAAUGUGAAUCAACACCUUCUUUCUAUGAUGAAAAUGCAAUGCAAUUAAAAUAAAAAAAACAUGUUAGCACAGGAGAAAUAAACAAAAUAGAGUACAUAUCCGGGUGACCACUUGGGGUUCGGAGUGGUUCUAUCUAAGGCUGGCUCUUAAGGCUCAUUAUAUGUGGUUUGGUUCUAAAGAAAAGGGUACCUGAACUAACUGAUUCCUCGAUCUUCACCCAUUAUAGGCUCAUAUGGAUCGAGUUCAGUUCAGGGGAAUACAUUUCCCUAUGGCCAUGCGGAGAUGAAAAUCUCAAGAAGACAUAGGUACGGAUGUAUCCCAAAAGCGAUCCACUAUCCCAUGUGGAAGUGAAAACUUCACGAAGGACUAGUUUCUCACUCCCAUUUAAAAGGGUAAGAUCAACCGAUCAUGCAAUGAAAUGUGCAAAAAGAUACCAAAAUUUAAAUCAACACAGUAAUUAUAAACCAUAAUGAUGAAGAUCGUAACAAAGACGAAUGAAAUGCAACGAAAGGAUCGUACAUUUAAACCAAAUUUUCAAUUUUCGACAAAAGGACAAAAUUAACCAACUUAUGGCUCGACUCUCAAAGUCCCCAAUGGAGUCGCCAAGCUGUUGAAACCAUUUUUUUUAAACGGGAAUCGACUUUGUUUGAAAAUGAAAAUUAAAACGGGAGUCGCCAUUGAUCUUUAUUAGGUGUGAUCAG
This 56807-nucleotide long non-coding RNA is filed under the name Gossypium barbadense (sea-island cotton). Its description in RNAcentral is "long non-coding RNA (GBAR_LNC006734)". The stretch from base 46999 to 47110 matches the Rfam family "MIR5225 microRNA precursor family". Lineage: Eukaryota; Viridiplantae; Streptophyta; Magnoliopsida; Malvales; Malvaceae. The record is from RNAcentral.